UUUUUUUUUUUUUUGUGGGUUUGUGGUUGGUGUUUGGAGAGGGGGGGGGGGGGGCGGGUUUUAUAGAGCGUCCUCCUCAUCAUUCUAGUGAGUAGGAGUGCACUUACAUGGUGAGAUAAAUCAGCAUCCAUAAUGACCACAAAAUUCCCUGAGGCAUGCUUCAGGCCAUGGAUGUAAGCCGUACCUGAAACUUAACUAAAUUAAUGAUCCCUUUUGCUAGUUCAAAAACUUAAACCAAGGCCGGCCAAAGAGAUACCUAAACCAAGCUUCGUAGGUCUAGCCCUCAACGGCUGGAUUAGUAGAUAGCCUUACAUAAGUAGACCUUUCAAAGAGAUAAGCAUAGGCAAAGCAUCAACAACAUUGCGAAUUAAUACUAAAGAGGACUUACAAUGCGAUCCUCUCCAUAGACAGAUUGCAGUUGUUUAACAAUAUCCUGAGUCCCAUCUGGACUUCCAUCAUCCACAACAAUAAUCUCAAAAUUGACAUUCCUAGCCAGGUAAGGACCAAUUGUCAGAUACAAGUAUAGAUCAUGAAGAGAAUGUUGUUUGUCAUUGUUUUAGUGUACUGUUUUUCACAUCUUUAAGUAAUAUCUAUCAUCUAAUGUCAAACCAAAACCUAUGAAGCACAAUCUCAAAUAGUUAAUUUCGUACAACAAUUUGGUCCAUGUUAUUCACAUAUUCAGUUGCAAGUCCAAAGCUUCACCUUCUUACACCUAAUGGUUCCCACACCCACUCAUAACUAUAGAGCUGAAUAUGCUCACGGCUAAUCAUCUAGAAGUUUGAGUGGACAAACAAGCAAACUUUUUCACAGCAAAUCAGUUUUAAUCAGCUUAUCCUGGGCAUAUGUAUAAGAAAAACUACACUUUGUUACCAAUUACCAGUCAUGAUUGAGAGAAAAAAGUAUCCAUACAAAAUAUGUGCUACUGUGUGCAUUGCUUAUCAAUUUUCAAACAAUUCUGAAGCUAAGAUUUUGAUACUUCGCAUGAUAUCUAAAUCAAAUACCCAGAAACACUUCUUUCCAAAUUGUAAGUCAAUCACACACACAAAAGCACAAAUAAUAAUAAUAAUAAUAAUAAUAAUAAUAAUGCUAUAAUAAUAGAAAGACUAAUAAUAAUAAUAAAAGCAAAGAACUGUUCCUGUGUAACAUGGAGAUAAUUAUUUCAGCAGUUCAUAGAUGAUUCUGAUGACCAAGUAAUAAGCUGUAAGAUCAACAAAAACACUUCAUUCAAAUAAACAUAAAUAAACCUUUUGAUGCAUGCAACAAAAGAUUUAGAACGUGAAAUGAAAAAUUCACAGAAGAUAAGUGUAAAAGCCAAAAGUGCAAUGAAAGAAGCCACUAGACAAACAAAGCAGAGGCAAUGGAACAUGCAUCAUCUGUUUUAUACAUAUAUUCACAGAAAAGGAAAAGGAGAACAUGCAUCAUCAUGGAUAACUUGGUAACGAGAGAGAGAGAGAGAGAGAGAGAGAGAAAGAGAGGGUACGGGAGAUGCUUGAAGAUGAGAUAAACAAGGAGAGCAAUGUUGAGGCGCUCAUUGUAGGUGGGGAUGAUUAUACUAUACUUAUUGCUAUUCUCCUUUUGCUCAUUGCCCAUAUUCUUUCUGCAUCAAAAUCCCUCCAACCCCUAGAAAGCGCAAAUUUUUAUUGAACUGGGUUAGAGAGAGAGACGGAAGGCAAAAACAAAAACACUUACAGCUAAUGCAAGUUGUAGGUAACAACUGUUAGUAUUUCAAUUCAAACUAAAGUUCCAUCCUAUUAGUUUUGGUUGUUUGUGAUAAUUCAACCCUCUAAUACGUUAAAGAGCUAUACCCAACAAUCCACUUGUCUCAGACUGAGCUGGAAAAGAUGGAGCUCAUGUGUUCUUCUCAGCAGCUUACUCCACUUAGGUACUUGAUCCCAUCAACCAAAUUGGAUAGCAAAACAAUUUUGGUACAGCUUUAAAAGGCAUAUUUUUCUACCGCAUAAGAUUUUCAUUUAGCUCAUUCUUCUACUUGUCAAAUUAUGCCUCUUCAAUUCCCUUUUGUGUCAGCUGAAUUUCCAAAAGCAGUAUAACUAUCCUAAUUCCUUAUCAGUGAGCAAUAGCUCUAACAAAUUCUUAAAAUUUGACGGAAUAACACGACCGAUCUGAUUAAAAAAAAUCUUCUUUUAGUAUAAUAUGAAGGAAGCCCAUCUUUUCAAGUUCAAUUUCGAUUAGUUCAAGUAAAUUACAUAUUUCAUGCUCAGUAAGAGCAGUAAAAUAUCGCUGAUGUCCAAGAAUAUAUCCAAAACUUUUCGAUACGGGUUGGUAGCUGCUGUAACUACGUGAGACUGUUCGAAGGAAUAGCUCUAACAUAAGGUACCCAAAAUGUAUAAAACAGUCAAUAACGAUUACACAAAGAUUCCCAUACAAAUUCAGCUCUCCAUCUAAACUAACUGAAGAAGCGUAAUGAAAAGCUAGGAAAUUCAAUCAGUUUAACAACUUGAACUGAAAAUCAGAAACGAUCUAAUCUUAAAGACGGCAACUUUAUAUGGUUUGGAAGCUUGAAUUAUGCGCAAAUGGCCGAGACUUUGAGAAGACAAUUAUGUUAUCCAAAUAAUAAAAUAGGCUGAUACAAAAGAGAAGAAUAAAUACAACCUAGAAAGAAAGUAAUAAUCGAAAAUAACAAUAAUAACAAUCCGAGGCUUGUGAACACAAUUUCCUUAAAACAGAUUCGCCCCCUCCAGGUAGAGUGCUUGAGGUUGAGUAGGCGUCUGUCUCCCAGGAUACAACGGAUUAAAGGUGAAUAUGUCAGCACCAAACGUUCUUCACCCCAGCGAACUCGAACUAGAGCAAUAUGGAACACUAUAAAAGAUGCAGAUGCAAGAAGGAAAAAGAGAGAGAGUGUACUUGCUUUUGAAACAACAGGAGAUAUUUAUAGAUGCUAGCUUAGGGUGACUGUUCGAAAUUGGCAACAAGAGUUAAAUUCCAGAUAAUUAUCUUCACGUUUAUGAAAGGACCACAUUCAUGUACAUACAUGUAUCUCAAUAAGAUAACCCCAAAGGAAUCCUAUCCAAAAUUAUGUAUCAAUAAUUAAUACACAUGAAUCCUAUCCGAAAUCAUGUAUCAAUAAUUAAUAUACAUGAAUGAAAGAUAAUUAUCCUGAAUUCUUUCAAGAGUGCCAUUAUGAGAACAAUUUUCUCAUUCACUCUACAAUGAAUAUAGCCAUUUUUCCAACAAUCCCCCACAUGAAUGGAAAAUUUGUUUUGAUUUGACUCUACAGUAGUGUUCCACGACUGAAACCUGCAUAAGAUAGGUUGGUGUUACCCAUUGAAUCUUCUCUUGUGAAAUACACUUACUUUACUAGCAAUCCAGUAGACAUGAUGUCUUUGAACUGUCUCGCUUUUUAGUGUAAAUGAACCAUAUAUUUCACACAGGAAUCAUGCUCCAUUAGUUCAGUUCUCAUAGUUAUGUUCGUUUUGGCCAUGAACAUCAACCUGGUUCAGCAAGAGUUUUUAAGAAUUGAGCCCUAAACAAUUCUCUUUUGAAGCGGCCCCACUUCACUCUCACAUAGGUGAUUUACUUAAGUCUUCAGUAAUAAAUUACUUUACUUAAGAAUCAUUAAAGCACACAUUGUGCUAUCCUUAAUUCUCCUUUGCGUCAUUGUUUCAUAACGGAAUGGGUUUAGGGGUAUCCCCCCACAAUGACUACGCUAAGUCCUUAUAAUUAGGUUGUCCCUUUGAACCUAGAUCUUGGGAUCUCCAGUCAGCUAGGUUGGGUUUCCUUUAUAACACUUAGCCUUCCAUGGGCUUUAGUCCCAUUCCCUUUGCCAUUUUUGCAACCAACUCUCUAUUCAAUCCUUUAGUUAGCGGAUCCGCUAUGUUAUCCUUUGAUUUCACAUAAUCAAUAGAGAUAACUCCUGUUGAGAGUAGUUGUCUAAUGGUAUUAUGCCUACGACGUAUAUGUCUAGACUUACCAUUAUAUAUGUUAUUCUGUGCUCUUCCAAUUGCUGAUUGACUAUCACAGUGAAUACAAAUUGGUGGCACAGGUUUCUCCCAUUUUGGAAUGUCUUCAAGGAAAUGGUGGAGCCAUUCAGCUUCUUCUCCACAUUUGUCCAAGGCAAUGAACUCAGAUUCCAUUGUAGAUCUAGCUACAAUAGUUUGUUUAGAAGACUUCCAAGAUACUGCCCCACUGGCAAGUGUGAACACAUAUCCACUUGUGGAUUUUGAAUCCUUUAUAUCAGAUAUCCAAUUUGCAUCUGCAUACCCUUCUAAAACAGCAGGGUAUCUAGUGUAAUGCAGUCCAUAGUUCCGAGUGUACCGUAGGUAUUUAAGUACCCUUAAAAUUGCUUUCCAAUGAUCAGCACUCGGAUUGCUUGUAAAUCUGCUCAAUUUGCUUACUGCAUAUGCAAUGUCAGGUCUAGUACAACUCAUUAAGUACAUUAGACUGCCAAUGAUUCUUGAGUAUUCUACUUGAGAAAUACUCUCUCCUCUAUUCUUAGAUAGAUGGAAACAAUUGUCUAAUGGAGUUUUUGCAAUUCCAGAAUCUUCCUUAUUGAAUUUUUCUAGAAUCUUGUCCACAUAAUGAGUUUGACUCAAGACCAAUCCAUCUGAUAUUCUUGUAAUUUUAACUCCUAAAAUUACAUCAGCAAGCCCCAUAUCUUUCAUGUCAAAUUUUGAAUUCAACAUAUCCUUGGUAGACUUGACCAUUUUGUCAUUACUACCAACAAUAAGUAUAUCAUCUACAUAAAGACAUAAGAUGACAUAGCCAUUGUCUGUUUCUUUAGUGUAGACACAUUUGUCACACUCAUUUAUUCUGUAUCCAUUAGUUAUCAUUGCAUUGUCGAACUUUUCAUGCCAUUUCUUUGGCGCUUGUUUUAGUCCAUACAAUGAUUUGACUAAUUUACAAACUUUAUUUCUUGCUCCCGGAGUUAUGAAACCCUCAGGUUGCUCCAUAUAGACUUCUUCAUCUAAAUCACCAUUUAAGAAGGCCGUCUUUACAUCCAUUUGAUGUAUCUCCAGAUUUCUCAAUGCAGCGAUAGCAAGUAUCAUUCUGAUAGAAUUUAUUCUCGUAACAGGAGAAUAAGUAUCAAAAUAAUCCAAACCUUCUUGUUGCUUGUAUCCUUUGAUUACAAGUCUGGCUUUGUACUUAUCGACAGAGCCAUCAGGUUUCAUUUUCCUUUUAAAGAUCCAUUUGGACCCUAAAGGUUUACAACCAGGAGGAAGAUCCACUAACUCCCAUGUAUGAUUCUGUAAAAUAGAAUCAACCUCACUUUUUAUUGCUUCUUUCCACAAAAAUCCUUCAGAAGAACUUACAGCUUCUGUAUAGGUUUGUGGUUCCUUUUCUAAUAGAAAAGUUGUAAAAUCAUCUCCAAAUGAUUUUUCCACUCUAGCCCUUUUGCUACGUCUCGGUUCAUCUUGUUGAAACAAGUCAUGAUCAUGUUUUUCUUGAUUCAUAACUCCAUGUGUUCGUUUUGAUGAACUUGAUGCACCAAUCAAUUUACAAGGAAACACAUCUUCAAAGAAUGAAGCAUUCCUUGAUUCCAUUAUCGUAUUUUUGUGUAUAUCCGAAAUUUCUGAAUUAUACACAAGAAAUCGAUAAGCAGUACUAUUAUGUGCAUAGCCUAUAAAGAUACAAUCCACAGUUCUAGGACCUAUCUUUAUUCUCUUUGGUGCUGGAAUAGCCACUUUUGCAAGACACCCCCACACUUUCAAGUAUUUGUAGGAUGGUCUCCUACCUUUCCAUAACUCAUAAGGAGUUUUAUCUUGUUUUUUCCGGGGUACCCUAUUUAAAAGGUAAUUGCUUGACAAAAUAGCUUCACCCCACAUAUUUUGAGGUAAUUCUGAACUUAUUAACAUCGCAUUCAUCAUUUCCUUUAGUGUGCGAUUUUUCCGUUCAGCAACACCAUUCGAUUGUGGUGAGUAAGGUGCAGUUACUUCAUGAACAAUUCCAUAUUUUGCACAGUCAUCACCAAUAGGUGUUUCAUAUUCACCACCUCUAUCACUUCUUAACCUUUUAAUUCUCUGGUUAAGUUGAUUUUCAACUUCAUUCUUGUAGAGAAUGAAUUUUUCCAAGGCUUCAUCUUUACUUUUGAGCAAAUACACAUAACAGUAUUUUGUGCAAUCAUCAAUGAAAGUGAUAAAAUAUUUAUUACCACCUCUUGUUUGAACAAAUUUCAAAUCACAGACAUCUGUGUGAAUCAAUUCAAGGGGUUCGGUGUUUCUUUCAAUUGUUUGAAACGAUGACCUUGUUAAUUUUGCUUCUACGCAAAUCUCACAUUUAUGGUUUGAAUUGAUGUGAAAGGAAGGAAUAUGAUCCAAGUUAAUUAGCCUACGCAAAGUAUCAUAAUUAACAUGACCUAGUCUACCAUGCCAUAAAUUGGAAGACUCAAGCAAAUAAGCAGAAGACUUAUUCUUAUUAUUCACAAUAGUCAUUACAUUCAAUUUGAACAACCCAUCGGUUGUAUAUCCUUUCCCUACAUACAUCCCAGAUUUGGAUAAUAUAACUUUAUCCGAUUCAAAAACCAUGCGAAAGCCAUGCUUGUUCAGCAACGAUCCAGAAACAAGGUUCUUGCGGAUUUCUGGCACAUACAGAACAUCGUUCAAAGUCAAUGUUUUGCCAGAAGUCAUCUUUAGUAACAGCUUCCCUUGACCUUCAAUAGCAGAUGAGGCAGAGUUCCCCAUGAACAUUUUUUCUCCUUCAAUUUUUUCGAAGGUAGUAAACAAGUCUUUGUUUGUGCAAACAUGUCUUGUAGCUCCAGUGUCAAUCCACCAUUCUUUCGGAUUUGACCCUAUCAUAUUUACUUCAGAAACCAUAGCAGUCAGGUUCAUGUUUUCCAUGUCUCCCUCGAUUCCAUCAAGCAAAUUUGUUUCAUGCUUCUUCUUCUUUGGAAGCUUACAUUCAGUGGACUUGUGACCUUUUUUGUCACAAUUGAAGCACUUACCUUGGAAUUUCUGCUUAGAGAUUUUCCCUUUUGCCCCAAGAUUUCGAGUUGGCUUUUUGCCUUUGGAGUUUUGCCCUUGCUUAUACUCCACAAUAUUUGCUUUAGCAUCAAGAAAAGUUGUUGCCUUGCAAUCAGAACCCCUGUUGUCUUCUUCAAUUCGAAGUCUAACGAUAAGGUCCUCCAUACUCAUCUCUUUGCGCUUGUGCUUGAGAUAGUUCUUGAAAUCCUUCCAUCCAGGAGGUAGCUUCUCAAUAACAGCAGCUACUUGAAAGGUUUCACUCAAAAUCAUGCCUUCUGCUAGAAUCUCAUGCAAGAUAAUCUGAAUUUCUUGCACUUGACUGAUAACAGUUUUGGAAUCCACCAUUUUAUAGUCUAGAAAUUUUCCAACGAUAAAUUUCUUUGCUCCGGCAUCUUCGGUUUUAUAUUUCCGAUCUAAGGAUUCCCACAGUGCCUUCGCCGUCUUGUGUAUUUGAUACACGUUAUACAGCGAGUCAUGCAAGCAGUUCAUGACAUAAUUUCGACAAAGGAAGUCGGAGUGCUUCCAAGCAUCAAUAGCACUGACAGCUUGUGCAUCAGUUAAGCCUUCAGGCAGCUUUGGAGCAUCCUCACUUAAGAAUCUCGAGAGAUUCAAUGUUGUCAAAUAGAACAACAUCUUUUGUUGCCAUAUCUUGAAGUUCAGGCCAUAGAACUUCUCAGGUUUCUCACUAUGGUUGGUAGACACCAUAGGAGUAAUCUUACCUUCAGGUUGUUUCACAAUUGAGCCAGAGGCAGCGGCAUCAGAAGUAGAAAUAUUGGUGUCUCUUCCUGUAUUGUCAGCCAUUGAGAACCGAAUCUGUUUUAAGACUGUUAUCCAAAUAGUAAAAUAGGCUGAUACAAAAGAGAAGAAUAAAUACAACCUAGAAAGAAAGUAAUAAUCGAAAAUAACAAUAAUAACAAUCCGAGGCUUGUGAACACAAUUUCCUUAAAACAGAUUCGCCCCCUCCAGGUAGAGUGCUUGAGGUUGAGUAGGCGUCUGUCUCCCAGGAUACAACGGAUUAAAGGUGAAUAUGUCAGCACCAAACGUUCUUCACCCCAGCGAACUCGAACUAGAGCAAUAUGGAACACUAUAAAAGAUGCAGAUGCAAGAAGGAAAAAGAGAGAGAGCGCACUUGCUUUUGAAACAACAGGAGAUAUUUAUAGAUGCUAGCUUAGGGUGACUGUUCGAAAUUGGCAACAAGAGUUAAAUUCCAGAUAAUUAUCUUCACGUUUAUGAAAGGAUCACAUUCAUGUACAUACAUGUAUCUCAAUAAGAUAACCCCAAAGGAAUCCUAUCCAAAAUUAUGUAUCAAUAAUUAAUACACAUGAAUCCUAUCCGAAAUCAUGUAUCAAUAAUUAAUAUACAUGAAUGAAAGAUAAUUAUCCUGAAUUCUUUCAAGAGUGCCAUUAUGAGAACAAUUUUCUCAUUCACUCUACAAUGAAUAUAGCCAUUUUUCCAACAAAUUAUUGGGUUUAGGGCUUCGAAUUGGGAGUUUGAUAAUAUUAACGAGAGAAGUUCUCUCUUCUUUCGUCUCUUUCAAAAAACCGAGAAAGCAACUAUUGAUGAACGAGUGAUAGCCUCGUGGGAAUAUAAAAGUCAAUCCUUUGUUACCCGUGUUAAUUAAUGAACUGGGCGGGUUAUUUGGGCCUGGUUUUAUCCAUUUGGAUAUGAGUUUGACCCUUGAGGCUAACCUAGUGGUCAUUGACAAUCUGCGUUAGAAGCUUGCUAUGCUUGUAUGUAAGUAGUAUAGUCCAAUGCGGAUUCUCCAUCUCCUCCCAUCAUCCCUUGUAAAGUUUUAGAUUAACGUUUAAUGUACAUAUAUUUUUAUAUGAUCUAACUUAAAUUUACACCACAUUAUUUGUAUUCACAUUUGAAAUCUUUUAUAUGUAUCAUAAAUGUAGACCUCCUUGUAUAUGAAACGGUAAUCCAAAAACUGUUUACUUCAUUUAUGUGCUAGUAUUUCAUAACAUAUUCAUUUCUUGAAGGUAAUUGCUCUAGUGUUUUUCGAAUAAUCAACGAUGACAACAAUAAAGAAGCAGACUACUCACAAAGAGUGACAGAGAUCAAAACAUCGAUGAUGAUCAAUUCAUCCAAAUAAUUUCAAAGAAGUUCAAAACUAAAAUUACACUAUGCUGUUAAGCUUUAGCUACACUGGCAACACCAGGAUCGCCACAGCACUAAAGUGAGAAAAAUUUGAACCCCAGUUACUGAAAUAUGGUCCACAGAUCAAUCUUCACCAAAUCUUCUUAGAACAUAAAAAGCUAAUCAAUUUCUAUAGCUCAAUGGUUAAAUUAACACAACCCUGACAGAAAAAUCCCAACUUUAGCAGAGAAAUACAACGGCAUUACAAGAAAUGAAUCCUCAAUAAUCUAAGACUUACAAAAUGGUCAAUCCUCUCUUAAUUAACCCCUAAUGCCUCAGGUGGCCCAAAUCUUUUGUGGCAUUACGCGAAUCACAACUAUUACAGGAAACAAGAAAAGGAAAUUAAAAAAAUAAAACCCAAUUUACCAAAAGAUUAAAAGGGCCAGUAUCACGGGCAAACGACAAUUAUAAAUUAAUUAAAAAAAACUCAGAGAGAGAGAGAGAGAGAGAUCAAAUAAAAAGCCAGAGGAGUAUAGCACCUUCGAUUUAGAGGGAAAUGGGAGAGGUCGGAAAAUGUUUAGAGAGAGGAGAGAUGAGGAGCGCAACGGAUCUUCUGUCCCACACCCUGUGCCACUCUCUGUCCCACUUUUUAUUAUAUUGCUAUUUCUCAUUCAUAAACAUCAUGUUUUAGUUCUUUUUUGCUUCCUUAUGAUCCAAUAACUAUUAAUUGAGUAAUACGCAAAAUUUAACAAACUCAAAAAAUCAAAAUACAUAAAAAAUGAGAUUUUUUAUGAAUUUUCUGCUGUAUUUUUUAAUUUUCUAUUAUAUAUUAUUUUUUUGAAGGUGUUGUAUUUAUUUUUUACUUAAUUAAUAGUUAUUGGAUCAUAAGAAAACGAAAAAGAACUAAAACAUGAUGUUUAUGAAUGAAAAAUAGCAAUAUAAUAAAAAGUGGGACAGAGAGUGGCACAGGGUGUGGGACAGAAGAUCCGUUGCGGAUGAGGAGGGUGGUGGUGGACGAUGAUGACGUUGGUCCAACACGCGUUGUCUGAAGAAAGGUUUUAAGGUGACAAGGAAUUAAGGGAGAGGCCCAACGAACGCAGGGUUUGUUGGCGGUAUUACUUCUCCACUUUACUCUUUAGUCUUUUCUGUGUUUCGGAAAAUUUUUACGCUACUAUAAUUGCUUUGAUUAAAAUAAUGGUACAAGGCUAUUUCUUUUUGACCCCUAGAAGUUUGCUAAUUUCUAAAAACAGUAUACUAUUUCACUGUAAUAAUUUAUUAAACACGUACAAAUUAUUGUGCUUGUGAUACUUAACACGUUGAACUCCAAUUCAUAAGUUUUCCUCUCUCCACAUCUAAUUGAUAGACUGUAUUGUAAACCAACUCUCUUGAUUUUGGUGAAAUUUUGCAUGAUCAAGUGAUUACAUCAACUAAUACUACUGAAUCUAGCAUCUUAUUUCUAUUAAUCAAGUGUAGGUUGUAGCAUUCCUGUACAACAUUUGAGUGAUACAAAAUGGGUCAAAUGAACUUGAUAUUGGAGAAAUUUUUGGUUUUUCAUCCAUGACGAUGGGCUAAUUAAAAUUGUAAUAGCCUCGUGGGAAUAUAAAAGUCAAUCCUUUGUUACCCGUGUUAAUUAAUGAACUGGGCGGGUUAUUUGGGGCUGGUUUUUAUCCAUUUGGAUAUGAGUUUGACCCUUGAGGCUAACCUAAUGGUCAUUGACAAUCUGCGUUAGAAGCUUGCUAUGCUUGUAUGUAAGUAGUAUAGUCCAAUGCGGAUUCUUCAUCUCCUCCCAUCAUCCCUUGUAAAGUUUUAGAUUAACGUUUAAUGUACAUAUAUUUUUAUAUGAUCUAACUUAAAUUUACACCACAUUAUCUGUAUUCACAUUUGAAAUCUUUUAUAUGUAUCAUAAAUGUAGACCUCCUUGUAUAUGAAACGGUAAUCCAAAAUUUGUUUACUUCAUUUAUGUGCUAGUAUUACAUAACAUAUUCAUUUCUUGAAGGUAAUUGCUCAAGUGUUUUUCGAAUAAUCAACGAUGACAACAAUAAAGAAGCAGACUACUCACAAAGAGUGAUAGAGAUCAAUACAUCGAUGAUGAUCAAUUCAUCCAAAUAAUUUCAAAGAAGUUCAAAACUAGCAGUAAAACAAUACAAAUGCAACAAAAUUUAAAGUAAAAAACUCUAACACCUUCAGAAUACUAUGAAUGUGGAGUAUGUCGAAACCAUUUAAAAGUUUGUAAAAUUUUCAAUCAGUUAAAUUUGAGAAGUGUAUAUCCUCUUUAUCAUGUACUUUUUGGAAUUUUUUAAUAAAUAGGUCAGAGUUUAUGUCCAACCUUACACCGUUUCUAGGUAAUUUUUUAUUAAAAAAAAGAAAACUAUUUACUUUCACAAAUUCUCAUAAACUAAAAGUAGUUUUAAUAUCUUGUUAUCUUUUCUUCAUGCGGGCCUAUUUGCCAUAACACGUGGACUUGCAAAAUUUACUUUGUCCUGCUUUUUAUUUUUUUUAAAAUCCUUGUUAAAUUUUGCAUAACCUCUUAUUUUCAAGCCAAAACCAUUGCCAUUACCCUUUAGUUUUUUUUUCUCCAACUCAAAAAGCCUUUUCCUUUUUGUGUUAUUCCUACUAAAGUAAAAAUAUAGAGAAGCUAAUACCUAGUUAGUAGUAACUACUAACUAGUAACUAGUAAUGGUCUCUAACCAAGUAAAAGUCCAAGGCCCAAGGCCCCAGGCAAUAAAAAGUUAGGAAAAGAUUAGGAAGCAUGGGCGGGUCAAAUAGCGGAUCUCACUUGUACGCAGCCACAGUAUUAACUUUCCCUAUCCUCGCCGCUAGGUGAAGACACAGUUCUCCUAGCUGAACCACAACGCAGCAUCUUCCGGUGGCAGCCAACGGCGAGGAUAUACUUCUCUACCUCUUUAUCCAGUAACGUUACUUUAUUUUAUCUCUCUCUUCUCGCCUUUUAUUUAUUUAUUUACUUUUAAUCUCACAAAUUUCAAUCUCUUGUAUGCAUCUUUGCUUUUUUUUUUUUGCUAUAAUUCUUAGAAUUGAUUGUACACUUUUAUUUUUACGUUUGUACUCUUGUAUGCAUCUUUGUUUUUUUUUUUUUGCUAUAAUUCUUAGAAUUGAUUGUACACUUUUAUUUUUACGUUUGUCUACGAUUUUUUAAAUUUUUUUUCUAAGCAUUGUGCUGGAUUUACUGGUAUAUAGUUACUGCUAAUUAAUUUUUAGUAGUUUUCUUGCUGGACUUUGGGUUUAGGGUUUUACGUAAGGAGCAUAGCAGGAAAUAGCAAUAGCAAUGAGUCGUAGCUUAGGUAUAUCGGUGAAGCUUCUACACGAAGCCACAGGACACAUCGUGACCGUAGAGUUGAAGAACGGAGAGCUCUACAGAGGCAGCAUGGUUGAAUGCGAAGACAAUUGGAAUUGCCAGCUCAAGAACAUCACUUUCACGGCUAAGGUACUCUCGUUCCAAUGUUAUUCUGCCCUUCAUUAAGAAUUGUGAAAGUGCUUUUCUGUUUCCGGUGUCUUUAUGCUGCUUUUGAGCUUCGUAAUGCCUUUUUCUUUCACUUUGAUUCCAAUGCAUGAUGGGCGGAAGCCUACGAUGAUUUUCUGUGGCAGGAAAAUUGAAACUAUGGGAUGUUAGUAAAUUGGAACUGAAAUCUAUUCACUCUUUAAGGGGGUAACAUGGGUUGGGUGGUGAAUGCUAUUCAGAACACGGGGACAGUCAGUUGUAUUUGUGCUCAAAAAUGAUUUAUAUAGGUUUUCCUAGUAAGAAUUUCAUGUUUGUGGCAAAAGUAUUUUAAAACUAUUAUUGGCAAUAUGUUCUCAUAUAACAAAAUUCUAUCCAACUGAAUUCCAGGUCGUGUAUUUUCUUUUUUUAAAUUCUUUGAUCUUACAUGCAAAACCGUUCUUUAAUAUGUGUUUUUUUUGUUGUGGGUUAGGUCUUUAAUAUGUGUUUUUAUUGCAGAUUUAUGCAUCUUAUUUUAUGACGUGUCCUUUAGGUGUCAGAUGCACGUCUCAGAUUUUACAACAAAUUAAGUGUCUUCUGCACACAUGCUUUAGAGUUCACAGAGUGUCAGGACUACUUGGGGUUGAGGUUGUAAGGAACUUUUUGACCUGUGGAUGCUCAUUUAUCAUACUUAUUUUAACUGACAGCUGGUUUUAAGAGUAUUCCUCCCUUGAUAAUUUCAUUAAAAUUGGACCUGUCAUUUUUGACAUUCAUAAGCAAUUAUUUCCAGUGCCAUAUAAUUUCUUCUACAUCAAUGGCUACAAAAUGUAAGAUCUCUUUUUGAAUUGUUGAUAGCUUAUGAACAAUCUCUUAUCCUUUCAUGGAUCUUUGAAGCACUGAUAUAAUUUACAUCUUCAGCCGCCUCAAUCCUGAUAUCUUCUUUUUUGAACCUCUGAACUGAAGCAAAUUAGCUUCAAGACUUCAAUUGUUUUUGACUGCCUAUUCCAGAUAUGGAGUUGGGUAAAAUUUCAUGCGAUUCAGUAAACAGAAUAUAAAUUCCAUCGUUGCUAGAUCAUCUAUAUAAUUCGGCGAAGAAUGAACUAAUAGUGGGAUUUUUUGAUAAAAUGUUUUCUGAUUCUCUCAACUGCUUUCUGAGUUCUGAUUGCGGGUAAAACAAAUUUUUAUCAGGUUUAUGGUGAUUCCCGAUAUGCUUAAGAAUGCUUUAAUGUUCAAACGUUUAGAAGCUAGAAUCAAGGUGCUUUCCCAAUUUGCCUAUGUGUAUUAGAGUGUAUUUGUGACCAUCACAGCUCUGCUUACACUUUUUAUAUUAUCUUUUGAAGGACAAGGGUUCAGCACUUGGCGUUGGACGGGGACGUGCUGUUGCCAUGAGAGCCAGGGUAAGAUCUAUUUCGUGACUUUUGCAUCUUAUACUCCAAGAUCAUUUAUUUAAAUCCAAAAGUUAGGAAUGACACUCCAUAUCUUUAUUGUAAGUUCUGAAAUGCAUUAUGAUCUAUUGUCAAGAAAAGGCAAUGCUGGAUAGCCUCUCUAGAACUGGGAUUUAACAAAUACUGUAAAACAAAGAAAAUUUAGUUGUAUGGAGUAUGUAAAAUGAUUAGCUUGGAGAAAUAUAUGGGGUUACAAAUUAAGUUUUGUGGGGUGAAGUUUGCCUGACUGUGCCAUCCGUGUAUGCAGGCUCAGGCUGCUGGUCGUGGAGGUCCACCUGGCAGGGGCGUUGUGCCACCUGUAAGGAGGUGAUCAUUCCAUAAUAUGAUUGUAAUCUUAAGAGCAUCAAAGCUCGUAUAUUAUGCACGGGAGAUCAUCAAACCCAUGUUCCGCAGCCCAAUUUGGUAUAGGAUAAUAUUUGGCCUUUGAGACCUUAAGAAUUAUGUACGCUUUUGAACUUGGCUAGUGCUCAUUUAGAGACGUGAAUGGUUUUCCAAUUUACGCUUCUGUUUUAGCUGAUUCUAAAAUUUGAUGUAAACCAAAUCGAUUGGCUGUCUGUUAGUCAUGUAGCGAAAGAAGUCGAUGUGGGAAGUCGUAUUCCGCUGUAACGUGGAAAUAGCAAAUUGCCUCCAUCCGUAAUUACUUGUGCGGAUGCAAAUAGCGAGCAAUGCAAUAAGCUUUUUGAAAAGGAUGGAUCCAGAGUUUGAAUGAUUAUCAGGAUUGCAAAGGCUAUGGAGGAGAGGUUAGUUUUUGGUGGUGAAACGUAGUUGAUAAUCCAGAAAUGCGUGUACCCUUUCAUUAACCGCUGCCCGGGCUGCUACGGAAACACCUUUUACUGCCUACUGGUUGGAAGAUUCAAAACUUCGUGGUUAUAUUGAAUGAGCGGCCAUUAGGCAGAUUAUUUGUGCCUCUGACGAAUUGAACUACCUUUGAAGUAGAAAUUAAAUUAUGCGAAUUGGAACCCUAUCCAACUCAUGGCCCUUUAAAUGAAAUGGAGCAAUUCUAACUCAGAUGUUUUUUGGCCCAAUGUGCACCAAAACAGACAUCUUGCUUGAAAUUCUCCAUUUUGGAAAAUCUUUCCUCUUUCGUCUACUGAUUGAGGGCUAUGACGAGAUAUAGCCUGGAUUGUACAUUCCUACUCCGUCUAUUUAUGCUCACUCACUAUAUCUGUAUGCAGCAGGAUGAUUGAUUUUCCAAGUCCAUUUGCUGGAUCCAGUAGCCAAAAACAAUAUGUGACUGACUAUCUGGAACAGUUGCAGGCUACAUUUCGUUUCCGCCUUAAAAUACACUCCUUUUUAUGAGUGAUGGAGCAAAGGUGUUUACUUCUGCAUAUUCAAAAAGUUUUAACGCCUUCUUAAGUUGGUGGAUAAAGGUGUAAAUAUCUGAUGCGAACAAAAUUACGGUUUAAAAGAUUUUUUUUUUUUUUUGGGGUAAGGUAUUCCACCUAAGGUUAAGUGGGUUUUCACUUUCAGUGCUUCAAAAUUUUAGUGUCCUCAGAUUUGAGUGCUUCAAAAUUUCAGUGCUUCAAUUGCCACGUUAAGUGGUUUUGCUUUAAAAAAUAUUCAGUCGGGUGCACGGUGGUGGUUCAGUCCCUUUCGAAUUACCUUUGGACUUCUUUAGCUCCGCCCCUCCCCCUAAUGUAGGAUAGAAUAGAUUUAUCGUCUCCGUUAAAAAAAAAAAUUUUGGAGACAUAGAAAAUAGACCAGUGAAUAGUCAUCAACCGUCUCCCUCCUCCUGACUCACUGGCUCGCUUCUGCUCGAAUUUCUUUCGCUGAACUUUCAUCGAACUCAUCUUGACCUCUGAUGAUGGAAAUUUGAUUUCGCCGAAGAUGCGUUUUAAGAAAAGUUGUGUUAGCAAGAAGGGUACUUUUCUUAUCUCUUUUCUUCUUCGCUGAUGCAUUUGUUUUCGAAAGUAGACUUUUGUAAGGAUAUUAUUAGCAAAAAAUUCCUAAUUUUAUGUUUCACACCGGCCCCCUUCCUCUCGAUUCACUCGAGAUUCAGGUUUUGAAAUAACAGCAAGUUAUACAAUAAUACCUUCUUUUGUUAUACUACUAUAAUACCGUAGUACUCUUUCUUUCUCGUGUAACAAUGACCACAAAGCUAAUCGCCACAAACCAAUCUAAUGUUCCACCAACCAAUUCUAAAAUUGAAAUUCACACAUCUGUCAUUCCCAAAAAGGAAAGGACUUCUUUAUCGCAAAAGACGUUAGUUAACAGUACUAGUAUUGUUCUCCAGAUUGUGUGGUGUCGAUGAAAGCCCGAUGAUGAAGACAGAAUUGUGUAAUAAAACUCUUCCUAGCACAAGUAGUCACGCUAUGAAUUAGAUGCAACAGAACUUCCCUACAGCUUAAAUCAAAUCCUAUCCAUCCCAAGUGUUUGAUUCACAAUUCACAAACAAGAGUCUCUCUUGCCACAUUAUUUCUAUGCAUGAACAGGCAUAGAGACACUGUACAGGCCACAGAAAGGGACUGCCAAAAUUCAUCUGUAUCAAAGCCUGGCAGCUGAUCUGGGAAAUAUAAUAGUGCAACAACCAAACGUUUGGUAUAAUUUUUCUUUAGUCUUCAAGCACAACAAAAGUGUUCUCCGAAUUGAAGUUCUUGAGCGGUAGCGAUCAAUGGUUUUGGCUCUCCAAAGUGCGCCGAUGGUACGUACUUGACGUUGACUUGGGUAUGGAAGUCAGAAAAUUCGACGGUGAAGUUGCCAAAAGAUGUCAAUUUCAGAUAAAUGGUUGGACCACUAAUGGCGAUCGCAAUGACUUCGAAAGAUUGACUACUAUUACAAGGGGGGGUUUAAUUUAUGCAUUGAAUAGGCCUUCUUUCUACUGAAAAUGCUUGUUUGACCCGAUGGGAAGACUUUUCUGCUUUUGUGUGAACAGAAAUUUCAACUUUUUUGCUUUAGUUUGACUUUCCAAUAUAUAUAUAUAUAUAUUCAUGAAAUGUAUGACAUACUAGCUAGCUUAAGGUGAUUGAGACUCAAAAAACAUAUAUAAUAAGUAUGUAAAAAGCUCCGACGCAGUUGCUUAAGUCUAAUUAAUUGAGUUCCAUUUCGACUGAAUCUUAGGAUUUAACCACAAAGCUUUUCUAGAAAUCUCAAUAUCAUCCGCCAUUUUUCUUUUAAAAAUUUAAUGCCAAUUCGUAUUUUAGUUGUAAGAUACGAGCUAAGUGAAUUAGUGAAGGGUCAAGUAAAACCCAAAUUUCGCAUUUCUACUGUUAUUAAAAGUUAACUUGUUUUUCAGAAUUGUAUAUAUUUCUGGGUUGUGUGGAUAAAUAAAGCAAAGAAGAAAGGAUAACUGCCUUCACUAAUUAGUCAUUCAAAUAUGCUAAGCUAAAUUUUUUGGGGGGGGGGGGGGGUAGGGGUCACUUCUAAUGCACAGCUUUAACUGCCAAACAGAGUGAAGAAAACAACUGAUAAACCAUAUAUACAGUCCACACGUUAAAGCAACUAAUUAAGCAAGUGUUAAUUAAAGCUGAUAUUAAGCAAGUGUUUGGGACAUAUCAACACGUCCUACUUUUUGAAGAAUGAAUGGAGGAUGAUGUGAGGGUUUAACGCCUCUCUUAUCAAUCAGAGUUUUAUUAGCAUGUGCUCCGCGUCUCCUUAAUUUCAUCAAAAGGGAAAUUGUUUUUGAUCAGCUUCUAAUUGCUACUACGCAUAUGAGUAUGGAUUUUCUUUAUUCGGUUCCCUCAAUAAACCCUAAUAGUAUUAGGUCUUACGUCCAAUCCAAAUCCAGAGACCAAAAUCUUAAUCUUCAAUUGUGUGAACUUAAUCAAACCAUUGAAUUAGGGGACCAUUUGGAGGUCCCAACUGCAUGUGCAAGGCAGAAUAUGUUUCCAACAGGUCCUGGUCGAUUUAUGAAACCAUGCCCAAUCAAUAUUUGAUGAUUGAUGGAAUUGAUUAACCUAACUUCUGUUCUACAUAAUAAAGCUCACUAAUUGACUUCCCUGCUUAAUGAUGAUCUGCAAGACCAAAAGCCAUUGCUUAAAACUCAUGCAGGAGAAAGAAAAUGAAAAUGAACGAAAAUCAAACUUCAGUGCGAUAUUAACUAUCACCGUCAAUCAAUCAUAUUCUUCUUUUUUUCUUUCAAGGAUUGCUCAAACACUCGAUGAUACAAUGAAUUUACUACGUGAAGGCAUGCACGUAUUCAUAUUUAUUACAUCUAUGUAUUUAGACAUUUUCUCAAAGUAAUCUCACUUUUACAAUGAAUUAAGCAGUACUCAAGGCCUCUCUUAACGAUUGACCCUUAUUAAUUACAAAUGCCGUCGUUAUCACUAUUGCCAUUGGUUCGGGUAACCUGGGCAAUUAGCAUACAUAUGGGACCUUUUGAACGCCAAAUUAUCACUUAAAAUAGGGAAAAAUCAGUAGCAUCCUUAUAGAUUUAUUGUACCAUAAAGUUUUUAACGGACAAAAAGAAUUUCAAUGUCGGAUUAUUUGUUUUUCAAUUAUAAGAGAAUUGAUGAGUACGUCCCUACAUUCUUUCUUUCUUUUUUUUUUCUUUAACAGAAAACCUUAGUUUUCCAUAAUGGCGUUUUUAUUUUCUUUGAUAUUGGAAAUAUCAUAAUGGCGUUUUUUUAGAGUAUUAUCAUUUUUUUUAAAAGGAUAAGAAGCAAAGACUUUAUUGGUAAUUCAUUUUACACCAUGAUGAUGAUGAUGUGCAAGUCCAAGUUAUGUAACUUCAAGUAUUUCGCUUUCUUUUAUGAAAAGGAGAAUGGGACUUGAUCCACUCAAGUUGCAUGUAACGUGUGAUCAUAGACUACGAAAAAAUAUCGGUUUCCAGGUCCACGGAAUGAAAUUGUCAAAGUGACACUAAAAACUUUGCGGUGCAUCAAAAGGUUGGUGAGUUGCUUAAUAUAUUUGAAUGUGUAUAUCAUUCAUCUUAGUAUGUACUCACAUCUGUAAUGCGAGAGUGCAUGCAUAUUGUAAAAAACAAGUUUUUUUUUUUUUUUAAUGUUGAGGCCUUUGGCUAUAUUGAGCUAACUCUUAAUACUUGUGUAAAUAAUAGUAAGCCAUUAGUUAGAUGAUUAUGAAAUUGUAUAAAUAAAAAUAUAUCAUUAGUUAGUUGAUUGUAAGGUCAAUUUUUUUUCUCGUUAUUUACAAUCCUUUCCAAUUUACCAUCUCACUCAACUCUUCGUAGAUCGUAAGACCACUUACUCGACUUUCAAUUCUUCUAUUUUUUUUUUCCUUCUCCAAGGACUCAAAAUCUCCUUUGAACCAAACAAAAUAAAAAGAAUUGCUUUUUUUGAAAAACUUGGUAGGUGUAUUCAGUUUAUUGUAUCAGAGACUGUAAGCAUAAGGACGUUGCUUCCGUUUAAGAUGUGCACCAAUGACUUACAUGGUUUACAGGAUACUAGGAGAGGAACACCGCACUAUGUGCGGUGUGAAGUUACAAGUUUAACGUGCCCAGUAGGAAGUUAAGAGGUUAAUAUGACCAGAGCCCUCAUUGGCUUUAUUUUCCAACUAAAAAUUAUUUUUUUAUCAUUUCUGUAUGUGGUAGAUAAUGAAGCAUUUUGUCAACAUUUCAAUUAAGAAAAGAAAUAAUACUAAUAAAGUUGAAGAGCAUAAUCACACAUAAUUGAGAUAAGCUCUCCAACUGUAUGAUGCAUCUCAUUAGCUGUGAAAAGUAAAAUUUAAGAUAUAAGAUACAUUAAUCCAGAAAUAUUGACUGCUAUAUCUAAAAAAUGCCUCUCGUCUUUCCUUAUCUAGCGUCGCGUUCAAUCAGCCAAUUAUAGUGGAACUAUGCAUUAGUGGUCAAAAUUUAAAAAAAAAAAAAAUCAAGACACAGUUUGAUAUCUAUACUAUAGCAAGUGGCUGUUGAAGUAAAUAAUGACUUUUGGUAAAGAUAUUGGAAAGGAUAAAACAAAGUAUCAAGCAUUCAUGACAAAAUUCCAUGAGCUUCCAUUAGCUUCCAAGUUCCAGCUAUCUAAAUAUCAAUCAGAUCUGACAAGAAGGAAUCAUAUUAGAAUUUAAUAACAUUUUGUGUAAAUAGUAGAAUGACAAUCUUGUUAAAUCACAGGUAACGCAUCCGUAGUUUUUGCCACACUUCAUGGCAAAAUUGUAAGGAAAUACUAAAGCAUGAAAUAUAAAACAAAGUCGUCAAGAACACAUUCCCUACUCCUAAGUUUAAGCCACCAAUAUAUUUGAAUAAUACCUCUUGCCAUUCAACUUUUUCUCAAACAUUAAUGUUGGAUAUAUAUAUAAAGAAUAGAAAGCCAAUAAACAGCAGAUGCAUUUUGAGCCACCAUCUUAUUUGGAUAAAUACCUCCUGCCAGCCAAUUUUUUCUCAAACAUGAAUGCUAGGUAUAAAUAAAGAACAGAAAAUCAAAAACAACAUAUGCAUUUGAGCCUAUAAAUCAUGUAGUUAUAUUUCAUUCAUGCCACAUUUUCGCAAAGACAACAUGAAUGAACAUAGGACAUCAAUUUAAAUUGAAAGAAAAUUUUCUCUUCUUUCGUAAAAAGCUCAAUGACAAAACAAAAAGCUCCAAAAAAUCAAGCAAAAGCUACAGAGAAAUUUCAAUAUAUUAGUUUGGUAUUUGUUAGAGUUUAUUUUUUAAAUCCUAAAACGCAAUCUAUUCUCUAUGUAAUUCUUAGAUUUUAAUUUUCUUUUUUACAUAAAGGUAUUAGAAAAUUCUAGUUGCCUAAUUGAGAAAAGGUGGAGAAGCUAAGGAGUAAUCACCACCUAUUGAUCAUUCCCCACUAUACACAAUUUGGCUAGAAAUUUAGGGCGGCAAUAUUUAAACUUACAACUGGGAUGGAGCACAUGAACAUUUUUUUUCUACAUACAAAGAUCUUAUCUUAAGGUUCUUUUAGCCAUUUCAGUUACAUCAUUCUGACUACUCAAACAUGAAAUCAUUAGGAGGGACAGGACAGCGAGUAACAAAAGCUACAAUCAGUCUAUGUACAUCAUUUUCUUAGAAAUUACUACAUCUAAAGAGUUAUUCAAAAAUGACACCAUCAAAGUAGAGAAAAAAUUUAUAAUGAUUUCAUCAGUAAUCAUAACUUUAAAUGAAAUAGGGUGAAAACAAAUGCUAUUAAACCUGGACUAAAGAUCUUAAAGGAAUGGAGCAGCCAAAGAAGACUUGCAACCUCUUAGUGAUGAAUUUACUAAAAUAGGUAAAAUACUAAAGAAACAGACUCUAAAUCAAAAGGAAAUGCAGUAUCUUCACAAAAUUUCAUACUCCACUUUUUCCAAGAAUAGUAAAUAGGGUAAAGUGACCAGAAAAUUAUAGUAAAAUGCUAAGAAAAAAAUGAAGAGAACACUAAAACAUCAAAAACAUACCAUUAAGGCUAAAUGGAAAAAUUAGCCUCCUUUUUGCUUUGUUCCUUCAUCUAACAAAAAUUUAGUAUAAAUAAAUAUCAGAAAAAUAAAAUUUAUUAGGAAAAAUAAAAGGAAAAAUGAAAUCAUAUUAACUUUUCUCUAUGGGAAAAAGACAGAGAGUCAAUACAAUGCUCACCUUGAGAAAAGAAUUCGCAAAUCUUAACAUCUCAAGCUACAACAAACAUUUGAAACUUAUGAGAGAGCAUAAAUAAUUAAUAUGUUAGACCAUCAAAUCUAUCAUAGGAUAUGUGAGACCACAGUAAGGAACAAGAAAAUAACAAUAAAGCAUAAGGAUUAGCAUGAAGUGAAGAAAUUGUGUUUCCCAAUUAAUAAUCAAACAUUAAGCACUAAACAUCUAAAAUGCAUUUCCAAAAUUUCACAUCCAGUUCAUACCGAUGCAAUACUUUUUCAAGUUGAAUAUAUUCCUUUUGUAAUAAAAUCCAAAAGCAUAACAUGCAAAGGACACAAAGGAAGGGAGAAAGGUGAUUUGUUGCUUUUAGCCAAGGAAAGAUCAGCAAAAAAAUGCCAGAAAAAAAAAACCAAAGGCAAACCUGAAGUGAACAUUUUGCCAAAAACUGAACUAUUCUUUCCUUCUUCAAGAUAUGCAUUAGUCUUCAAGAUAUGCAUUAGUCUUCAAGAUAUGCAAAUCAUGUCGAUCUAGGUAACAAGAAAACAAAACAAAAUAUUAACAGAUCAUGAUAUGUUUAGCGAGUUAUGGAGACUUGCCUGUUUUUUUUGAAACACCCUUUUAUUUCCUCUUCUUAGAGGCCGAGGGAGAUUUUUUGUGGUUCCCAAAAGAAAAAAAAAGAAUUAUACAGAAAAGUUAUGGCAAGCAAAAAAGGAAGAAAUUAUACAUAAAAAAGGGAAAACAAAGGUGAGAAGAUAAAACCUGUGAGUAGUCAGAUGAAAAAAUAGUGAGCGAUCUACAAGAUCACACAAAAAAUUGUGGUCCAAAAAAAAGUAACAAUUGAUGGUCAAGGAUGCAAGUAAUAAUGCAUCAGAAAAUGCAUGUCAAGGAUGUACAAAUUAAAGGAUAGAAUAUAGAGAAAAGAAUAAAAGAAAAGCAAAAUUAGAAUAACUAACCAGUGUGUAUGAAGAAGUCCAACACCGCACAACUGAAUAAUAGUAGAAGCUAUCAAAGAAACCACAAUCAUGUAAAAGAUAAUAAGAAAGGUGACAAAAAAACAAGAGAGUAAAAAGAGAAGCUGAUUCGGUGACAAUAAUUUUGAAGGGACAGAAAAAAAUUAAAAUGGUCGAACAGUGCUUGAGAAAAACAAAGAAGCAAGCAAGAAAUAAGAAACAAAGCAGUUUGACAGCAAUUCCGAAAUAUUUGAAGAAUUAGAGAAAAACAAAGGAAAGCGAAGCGUAAAACCAACAUGCUCACCAGGAAGCAGCAACGGCAACACCAGCACAAACUAAAACCAAACCAAUAAAUUGGGAAAAAGGAAGGUUCAAAAUAGCUAAAGAAAAAUGAAGAACAAUACUUAUGAGGUAGGUCUUUCUGUCUAGCAAAGAAACAAGAGCAAUAGAAUAGGGAAAAGAAAGCAGUAGAUGCACCGUUACCACUGAUCAUGAUGAUGAUCAGUAGAAAAUCUGGUGUGGAAAGCCAGAGAAACUGCAUAACCAUUGUGCAAAUGCAAAACACAAAACAAUGUCAAUCAACGGGAGCAAAAGAGCUAAUAGUUGACAACGGGGAAAAGUUAUUUUUUUGCAGAUUUACAGACAUAACCCAAGCAAAGGACAAAAAGACUACAAGAGCUUUUGAGUGGAAGCGUAAAUGCAGUCAGAAGGGAUGGGUAAUAUAGUGAACAGCUCAGGUACAAUCAACCAUCAACAAAAAGAGGCUGAUGACAAGAAGUGUGUAGCGGCGGAUGAAGAAAUCGAGAAAGUAUGCAUCAAAACCAAACAAACAAAAUACCAGCUACAAACAAAUGGUCCAUAAUUAAUUGCAAAGAAUUGGUAAUUAAGCAUGUUAAUUUAGAAAAGUAGUUAAUUACGAAUCAAUUAAUUAAGACCACCAAAAGCAAAGAAGAAAAGACUAAUGAGAAGCGUUUUCUGAAGCUGGAGCAAGGUAGACAUAUUAAUUAAAUAACAAUUAAUUGCAACAAAUUGGUAAUUAAUUGCGAUUUGUUAGGCAACAAAAAAGUAACGUUAUUAAUGAAUUAAUUAACAAUUAAUUGUUAAAAAAGGAAACCAAAUGUGAUUUGAUUGGCAUGCAAAAAAAAGAGGCUAAAUUUUGGCUAAUAACUACACAGAAUUGGUAAUUAAAAGCGAUUUGUUGGGUAAAAAAAAUAUUAAUAAUUAUAAAAACAGGUAAGUAAAUGUGAUUUAUCAAGCAAUAAAACUGUGAAAGUAUAACUUAAUUUCGGUGAAAUUAAUUGCAAAAAAAUUGAAUUAAACCUGAUUUGUUGGCCAACCCAAAGUAAAAGAGGACAUUUUUUAAUAAAUUUAAAAAAAAAAGGUAAUUAAACGUGAUUUUUUGGACAAGCACACAAAAGCUCAUUUUUUGUUAAUAAUUGCAAGAAAGUGAUUAAUUAAACGUGAUUUGUUGGGUAAAAAACGACACUAUUAAUUAGUUAUUAACAAUUAACUGUAAAAAAUUGGUAAGUAAAUGCGAUUUAUUGGGUUAAAAAAAUGGAGCCAAAAUAAUAAAUAAAUAAAUAAAUAAAUAAUAACAAUUAAUAGCGGGGAAUCAAUAACAAGCUGCCAUUUUGAGGUCCAAUAACUUGUUAUUGAGCUGCCAUUUUUUUCCAAUAACAAAGCACUUCCAAUCCAAUAAAAAAAAAAAAAGAAAAGGAAAAAAACCAAUGGCACGUGGAGCCAGAAUUUAGCGGCAGACUUCCAAGCCAGACGUCCAAGCAAAACAAAGAAAAGAAACAAUCGGCUGGACAACCAAUUCACGCGAGCGAAUUCACACGAAGCGACGAUCACCAAUCGGCCAAUGGAAGCCUGCCAUGUCAGCAAUCAGAACCCAAUUGAAAACCUCCCCAUUCCCGCAUAGACUAGAUAUGUUAAUUAUGUCUAUGUAAGUAGAUAUCUUUGAGCCCUACAAUCUUCAUAGGAAUAUUAUUGGCUUACCUUGUAUAUUAUUCUUAGUGCCCGUGCGAUUCUUCAAAUUGAUAUAUAACCACCAAAAUCGAAUGCAGCCCAACAUUUAUUUCAGAACACGUUUCAAUCUUCAACUUUUUGGACAAAAUGAUCGAACCAGAAAGAGAAACAAGUUUCGACAACUAUGUCAUGAUACAGUAUGCUUUCAUUUCAUGCAUGUCUUGGUUAGUUCCUUGAUUGCAGAUUAAUGCAGACGAUUGAUCAAGUACGUACUUUAACUGAAGCAAGUGUCUAUCAUGUUACUGCUAACGACCGCGGUAGAACUUCAUAACCUCAGACCAAGAACGAAUUUUAGAUUGAAUCAUAAGCCUUGAAAGAAUUCACCAGAGAAAUAAUGCAAAUGGUCAAGUUUUGGCGCAACUUCAUGGUUCGUAUUCAUAUGAAAAAGGGAAAAAAAAACGGAAAUCUGUAAAUCUCCGCUCUGCUGUAUCUUAGACUGUAACAAACAAGAGAAAUUUCCAAUUUCCAAAUUCGUGUAUAUAUAUAUCUCCACUAAUGAAAAAAAAACCAGACAAUUAGUUUCCACGUGGUCAGAUGAAGAAUAUCCCAUGCAUUAAACUACUUAGUUUAAAUUAAACUACUUAGUUUAAGUAACCGGUGGUGCCCAUCAUCCAUGUUAUAGUAGACCUUAAUCCACCUCUACAAAUGACAAGAAACUCCAUCGUGCUUCAUUAGCUCCCUUAAUUAUCUGAUCAUGGAAAAUAGAGAGCAAAAAACUUCUUCAUCGCAAGGAAUGGUGAGGCCCAUCUCAUGGUUGAAGCCAAACUCUUCUUCAGCUCGUUGUAACAAGCUCUGGAAUUCCGGGUGUUCCAGCCAAGAAAUGGGGAUGAUGUAUCUGGUCCUAUUUUGGCCAACAUAUACUGCAAAAUGGCCUUUUGGGACAUCAUGUGGAAGGCUAUUGUCGUGAUGAUCAUGACCCGUAUUCUUCCUUCCAAAACUUGAACACUUUUUGAGGAUUUGUUUGAGGGCCGCCGUUUGGGUAGCGGCAUGUUUUGUUCCUUUCUUAAGAGCCAUGUUUAUGGACUUUAGAGGAAAAAGGCUCAGCUAGGCAAAGAAGAGAUAGAAAUUGUAUGUAUUAAGAGGAAAAAGUGCUAAAGAGAAUGAAGGAUUGGAAGGAGGUGGGGAUGAAUUGAGGAGAAUGUGGAGUAGUAGUAGUAUUUAUGGGAAAAAAGAAGAAGACGGAGAGAUUAUCUGCGAAACAAAGACGUGGAGUGUGGGGGCAACAAACUAACAGGGCUUAGAUGUUCUUAUUUGAGAAGUCUUGUUCAAGGCCAUGCAAACUCAUUCCCCAUUUGGCCUUUUCCCGUUUUCUUGUUACCCCUCCCGUAGACAAAUAGGACCACUAUACUCUAUACUCUAUACCAUAAACUCCAAUCUCCGUUCAUCAUAUGUGUGUAUUUGUGUUUUGGACAGUGUGAUUGUGCAUGAAAUCCCCAUUUUAUUAAUGACUGAUCUAGAGAAUUAGGAUAUGGUACAGUCAGAUUGUUCCAUAUAUGAUAAGAUAAAAAAUUCAUAUCUUUCUAACUAUAUCCUAAGUGUCUUUUCAUUUCUUAUUAUUGUGGGUGAGAAUCAUUCUUGGGUAAUAAUUUGGAGGUUCAAUGGGUUAUGGAUUCCACACCUUUUCAAACUUGAGAAAAAUCGUCUAGAUUUUGGGACCUAUGGAAUACAAGGCUUCCCUCAACAAUUGGAUUCGAUCACCUCUUAAAAGUUCUAAGGUAAUGGAAACCAAUCUUCAAUACCUAAACGGCGUUGAGUAAACUAUGAAAGAUUAAAACAGCAAAAGAUAAAAGAAGAAUAAAAAAUAAAAUUUGAUUUGUGUUAUAAAUUUUUUUUCUCAUCAUACCAGUUUAAACAAUCAAAGCACUUUGUAGAUUGAAAAAUUCGAAAAAAUAUGCCCUAAAUGAGAUAUAUCCUUUGCAAUUAUAUAAAUUUUCAUAUUAAAAAGUGAAUUUGCCAAAAAUUUUGUUCCUCAAUAUAGGAAGUAUGUCUACAAAAUUUUGAAAAACACAAAAAAUAAAGCAUAAAAUUCUAAAUUUUUUUUAAAAAAAUGUAGUAACGCAUAGGAGUGUCCUAUUGAAAAGAUCAAUCUCACGGAGCUCAUAUAUGCAUCAAAAUUAUCACCCUUUUUUAUCUCGUUUAAUCUCCAAUCGCAUACCAUGUCAUACCCUAUCGCUGUUGCCAAUGCUCCAAUUAUGAUAAUUUUCAGUAAAAUGACAAUAACACUAGAUUCAAGAAAUUUUAGGCUAGCAAAUUCUAGAGAACACGGAAGAGAAUAUUGUAGAAAGUGAAAAUAAGCAGAGACUAUAUGGACGGUGGUGGUCGUCAUGGUAUUGGGGGUGCGAUGAAGGGCGAUGAGAUGAUGGUUAGAACGAUGGCGGGUGGGAGAAGGUAAGAGGGUGGCCGGCAUUGUACGAGUAAAAACUAUAUAGAUGGUGGUGGUCGUCGUGACAUUGGGUGCGCAAGAAAAAGUGAUAGGAUGAUGGUUGAAACGAUGCCGGCAUUCUAUUUUACUUUUUUAGAAGUAAUUUAAACCAUAUGGGAAAUAGGAGUAUUUAAUUCUUAUAAUUUUUUAUUUUAUUUUAUUUUAUUUUUCAUUACUUUUUUUAUUUUGAAAUGAUCGAAUGGGUCGGGAGAGCGUUAUCCCAUGAUUUUACCAAGGGAAUUAAUGAAAUUAGUUAGCGAUGGUAAUCUCUAACACGACAUGAUAAUACUAUUCGAACAUAAUUCGAAAUUAAUAGAUUUUAACAUGGUCUAGAUUUUAGUGGGUUAUUAUUGGGUAAUCCUAUUAGUGACACGAAUGUAAGCGAGUUGGAUUGGAUCAACUCAGGUUGACAUGCUAAUCGACAAAAUGCUUACUUUCACAUAAAAAUUAAACAUUACCAAGGCCAAUUUCAGUAUUUAGUAAAAAUCAGAAACAAUUAAAUUUGGCUCGAAGAUUGUAACUAUAAUUUUCUCCAUUUCCUAUGAAUAUACCUUCUACACAUUUUUCAAUAAUCUUUUAUUUCAUAUAUAUCACAUACUAAAAAGUGUUAAUGUAAUUAGUUCCGUAUAUAAUAAGAUAUAAAAAUUCACAUCUUUCUAACUAUAUCCUAAGUGUCUUUUCAUUCUUUAUUGUGGGUGAAAAUCAUUCUUGGGUAACAAUUUGGAGGUUCAAUGGGUUAUGGAUUCUACACCUUUUCAAACUUGCGGAGAAUCGUCUAGAUUUUGGGACUUAUGGAGUACAAGACUUCCUUCAACAAUUGGAUUCGUUCACCUCGUUAAAAGUUCUAAGGUAAAGGAACCAAUCUUCAAUGCCUAAACAGCGUUGAGCAAACUAUGAAAGAUUAAAACAACAAAGGAUAAAAGAAGAAUAAAAAAUAAAAUUUGAUAUGUGUUAUAAAUUUUUUUUCUCAUCAUACCAGUUUAAACAACCAAAGCACCCUGUAGAUUGAAAAAUUCGGAGGAAUAUGCCCAAAAUGAGAUAUAUCCUUUGCAAUUAUAAAAAUUUUCAUAUUAAAAAGUGACUUUACCAAAGAUUUUGUUAUUCGGUAUAAGAAGUAUGUCAGCAAAAUUUCAAAAAUACAAAAAUAAAGCAUAAAAACCUAAAUUUUUUUUAAAAAAAUAUAGUAACACAUGGGAGUGUCCUAUUGAAAAGAUCAAUCUCACGAAGCUCAUAUAUGCAUCAAAAUUAUCACCCUUUUUUAUCUCGUUUUAUCUCGAGUCGCAUACCAUGCCAUACCCUAUCGCUAUUGCCAAUGCUCCAAUUAUGAUAAUUUUCAGUGGAAUGACAAUAACACUAGAUUCAAGAAAUUUUAGACUAGCAAAUUCUAGAGAACAUGGAAGAAAAUAUUGUAGAAAGUGAAAAUAAGCAGAGACUAUAUGCACUGUGAUGGUCGUCGUGGUAUUGGGGGUGCGACGAAGGGCCUCCAUGAGUUGUUUAGUGCCUCAUCCAUGCAACAAGUUGCUUCCAUUUUAUCCAUACAAGAUGAUCCAAAUCAAUGUUAACUAGGACUGGAUUUUACACCUUUGCACAAUUAAGGUCCCAAUGUGAAAUUCCAUGACCAAAGGCUAAUUAGAGAGUUUUGGAUUGCAACCUGGAAUUCUCACAAGCUCUUUCCUACCUUGGCGCAUGUCCUUGUUUGAGAGUCUCAUGAAGUUGACCAAAUGACAUGCGACAUGACUUGUAGUCAUUUAUCUAUUUCCAACAUUGCUGUCCUUUAAAUGCACCGUCGAUUUGUGGACAAAUUGCUUUCAAGAAGAGAGGAAUGAUAUGAUUCGGAGCCCCCCCAACUCUAGUCCACAAAGAUCUCACAUACGAAAGAUAUUCAAAGUUUCAAGUUGUUCAUUUGGUCUUGUUGAGUAAGGACUUAUUUGUCAUUUUAGUUGCUGUUUAUUUAUUUAUUUCUUUUUAAACAAAUUCGGCCAAAAUAGCCUUCUAGUUGGCCGAACAAUAGCCCAAACAAAUCCUAGUCUAGCCGAGUUUUUACUUAGGUAUUUUUAGUUCAAGUGAAUCCAAUUCACUUUAGAUCUAGUUUAAGUGAAUCCAAUUCACUUUAGAUUGUCAAGUGUAUGGCUAUAUAUAGCCAAGGCAAGAGACCUUCCAAAUCAGUUUUUCAAUCAAUAAAAUUGUGAGAUUUCACUUUUCUCUUUCCAAAAGAGAUUCUUUGAAUAUUUGAGAAUCUUUCUCAAGUUAUUCAAGUGAACUUAUCAAUCAAGUAACUCCUUGAUUGUGACGUUCCUCUAACUAUAGUUUGGUUCGCUAAUUCGUUAAAUAGUGGGUUGAGAUAGUAUCAAUAGUGUUCGCUACUUCGGGGAUUAGAUUGGGUCAAAUUUCCACUGCCAAAUUGUUGGUGAUUCGUUGUCUAGAUCGUGUCAAGUGAGGUAUCACAUCACAACCUUAUACAAAUACAUAUGAAAUUUACUAAUACACAAGAGCUUAAACAAAAACAAAACUAAAACUACCUCAACUCUUUCUCCAAAAUCACGCUCCCAAACUUUGUCCCCUGUAAGGAAACAAAGGAGAAUAGGGUGAGCUUUCGCCCAAUGAGGUGCCAAAAGGUCACGCAGUCACAAAUCACAUAACUAACUUUUAGUCACUCAAAUAUAAGCAUCAAAUAAUGAAAUAAGUAAACACCACAAUUCAUACAGAGCGUUCAAGUAAAGGAUAUAGAUGACUCUCAAGAGCUAAUUUCACCGUUGCAUUAACUUGUUCCAAACCGGUUGACACUCCGUCAAUGUUUAUAGAGACGAAACAAUGACCGUAAAUCUCCACUUUACACCAGUUUUUUGUCCACCCAACAUACCUCUUACCGGUCCCAAACACCAAACAGAAAUAGUGGUGGUAAUACUCGAAUAUACCCAAUCAAGAACAAGUAUGGUUGAUGAGAUAACUUUCCAAUUGACUUAAUCAAGAUAGAGGUAUUGAGACGGGAAUGAGAGGCACCCCCCACUCGAAUUGAGUGUGGUACAUACUGCCGUUCAGCACUAGGGUCGAUGAGCCAACCCUCCAAUCGAUUUAAUCAAAAUAAAAAGUAUUGAGAUGGGAAUGAGAGGCACCUCCCACUCGAAAUAAGUGUGAUACAUACUGCAACUCAACACUUACAAGUCAAGCACAAACACAAAUACAAAUACAGGUCAAUCAAGUUCAAACAAGUAUAAGAUCAUUCAAGAAGGGGAGGACGAUUGUGAUAAAGUACACCCUCGCCUCAUCAAGUUCAAUAUUCAACACAAUACGUGGUAUCAUUCAAAUCAAGAUAUUAAGAAACAUGCACUUGACACUCACCAGUUUAAGCAAAAUAACAUCAAAAGUUCGCCCCCGGGUUAUGCUCUUGAUCACCAACAAAUCCUAAGAACAACCAAGAUAAAGUAUUAUGGUUCAACCAUUCAAAACUUAGGUGAACCAAAAAAAAUCCAAAUAACUACUAGUGCAAAGGUGUAAAUAUGGUUUUGGAGUGAAAAGAGAACAUUUGGACCCAAAGGACAUGAGUAACCAAGGAGUUCCUCAUUCCAAUUCAUGGCUAGAAUUUCUAGCAACAAAUAGCUAAAAAGAUAAUCAACCUCGAGCUUAAAAGCGAAACAAAUGCAACUAGAAAGAAUGCUAGAAAAAACUAUCACUUUUCCUCUUAUUUUACACAUGAUUUUGUCAAAAUUUCAGCUUAUACACUACCAUCAAAGUGCACUCAAGAACUCACAUGUAACCUAAGUCCAAACCAACCCAAAAUCACCCCUCUAACAUCACUUAUUUUACAAGAAAGAAGGUAAAUAAAAUUUCAACAGCACUUCCCCUAUUUUCUUCACUUUUCCAUCCAAACUCAACACUUAUUUUUAUCUCAAUCUAACCUCAAUCACAACCACAAGUUAUAGGCUAUAAAAUACCCUUGUUUAAGGCCAAAAAACCACCCAAAAAUAGCCAAUUUCAAACUCAAGAAUCAACUAUAACAAAGCUGAAAUUUAUAACCCUAGGCUGAAAUUUUCAACUACAAGCUGAAAUUUUCCAUAAGCAAGCCAUAAUAACUUAUAAAAGCUAGAAAAUUCACAUGACAAAUCUACUAAAUCAUGGCCAAGCUCAAAGCAUCAUUAUAAAGCUAAAAUUUCACCAUCAAAAUUGAAAUUUUUGAAUCACCACCCAAACCAUGAAAUUUCUCAUGAAAACUACCAAAAUCAAUCCCUAAAUCCACUCUUAUGUAAGUAUUAAAAGAAAUGAGAGUUUCUUGAUAUAGUUACCUUAAUACCCUAAGAAGAAAUGGAAACCAAAUGCUUCUUUCUUUCAAAUCAAUCCACCAAAGCCCUUAAUCCUCCUUAGAUGUCACCUUUUAUGGAGUAGUUUGCAAAAUCAAUGGUUAAAACUCAAGAUUCAAACAAGAUUAGAAGGUGAAAAAUGAAGUUUUUCUCCCCUUUUUUUCCCUCAAAGUUUCGACCAAGAGAGGUAGAAAGAUGAUAGCAUUUUUGUCAAUUUUUUUUAAUUAAAGGUUAAGAAAGGUUGUAGUCAAAGUCAAAGCUCCAUAAAUUUUGUGACAAAUGGCAUUCCAAGGUUAAUCAUCAUCUUAUUGUCUCCCAAAUGCUAAAAUACCUAGCCAAUCUCUAAUUAUCCCCUAACACCUUAUAAAAUAAUAUCUCUUUGUAUGAAACUCCUCUUGGUUUUCAAAAAAAUUUAUCGCACAUACCGCAUUAGUGGGUGUUACUUCCAUAAUUCACUUCGAAUUUAACAUGAACUAACUUAUAAAAAAAUGCUUUAAAAACUUGACUUACUUAUAAAAAUAUCUAGAAAAUUAGGGCAAUAAAAUAAAGUAAAGAAAAUGUAUUUGAAGAAAUAAAAUAAAAUAAAAUAAAGAAAUUUUUCGAGUUCUCAAAUCUUUCCUAUCUAAUAUCUCUCUCAAUUUUCUCUCUGAACUUUCCCGUGAUUUUUUCUUUACGUUAUCUUUCUUUUGUCAAAUGUAAUUCUGAGAAUCCAAUAUUUAUAUUAACAGCAUCUAAAACUUCAGUAUCAUCCUUGAUAUUGUUUCAGUGGAUGAAAAAUAUUCUUCUUGAAUUGAUAAUCUCAAGGUGAACGAAAACUAUUCUCUUAUCUUUCUAUUGUGUAUUUUUUGCUACAUUCCUAUGCCUUCAAAAAAUUUUGAAUACUAAUUGUUUAACAAAUGAUUUCUCACACCAUGUGUUUGAUAAAAUGUCUAGGAGGAACCACUAUAUAACAACAUAGAUUCGUGCCUAGGAUGCCAUUUGCCUUUUAUGCUUGUUGAUUACAUAUAUACUAAUCUAGUAGUUUUUAGUUUGCAAUUGAAAAUUUGAAAUUUUCAACUUGAUUACUUUUUGUAAAAGUUCUUUUCAAGGAGUAGGAAGGAUAACAUAAACAAAUAUGAUAUCCUUGAAAUUUUUGUAAUUUUUCUUGUUAUUGCUUACAAUUUUCAUUGCAAUUUUUGUUGCAAUUUUUAUGUAUUUUUAAAUUUAUUUUUUGAAAAUAUAUGCAAUAGGUUUGAUACAUUUAAAAAAAAUGCAAGGACCAAUAAUAGUAAGGUUAAUAAUGGUAGAAUUUAUUUUUAAUAAUUAUAAGGACUAUCAAAUUACGCAAUCUUCUUGUGCCUCUACAAUAAAAUUUUUUAAAAAUUUUUAGUUCAUGUUGGAAACUAUAGCCUACAUUAAAACUUUUCUUUCUUGUUAUCCUACAUGACAAUUAGGAUAAUUAGAUGGCAACAAUAAUAUCAUUAUGGGAAUAAAAUUUGAAAGUGAAUCACAUUGGGAAUAUUUUUUUAGAAAGAGUGUUAUUUUGGCAAAAAAACUCCUACGUCUUUUAUCAUCUUUAGAGUCUCAUUUAAUAUCUACUUGAUCAACAUCAAAACCUACAACUAGUUGUGUCUCAAAUCACCCCCUCUUAUUAUAUUUACAUGUACUAUAUUUUGACUAAUUUCAAUUGACUCUAUUGCUAAAGCCAAUAGCAUUCCAAUUCCAUCAUGAAUGACAAUCUAAUUGUGCACAAAAAUAGGUAAAUAGUUAUAGUUUAAGUCAUAGUCAUCCAAAACUUCAUGCAUAAGAAUGUGUAAUAUAUUCAAUGUUUUAAACUAAAAUUGAAAUACGAAACUACCAUUGAACUAAAGCAUCACUUUAUGAACUUGAUUUUGCCAAAAAUCGAAGUAAAAUCAAAUUAGUCAAUUCCUGUUUCCAAAUAGAAUUCAUUUUGAUUUAGGAAUUCUAUUAUUCAAAUUGUUGCUUAUUCUUUCAGGACAUAGCAUAGCCAUGCAGUAAAAAGCAAUAAAUCAAUAUUAGCUUAUACAAAAGCAAUUAGCAGGAGUUGUUUGUCCAGGGUGGUUCUGUUUCUAAGUGAAGUUAAAUUUCAUUCAGAGAUUCCAUUAUUUAAGUCAUUGCUUGCCUCUUAAGGACAUAGGAUGGCCGUGGAUUUAAAAAUCAACAAAUCAAUAUUAUCCUUGUUUGACAACUAUUAGCAUGAGAUGUUUGUGUAGGGUGGUGUUUUUUACAUUUAAUCAUUUUAAACCUUAUAAGAGGAAAGAGGAUGAUGAAAAGUCAAAUUAAGAUUUCACAGUUAAAUAAUUAAUUCUGAGCUUAACUGAAUGUUAACAAGCAUAGCAUAUUUUCCACUUACUAAAACAUUUGACUAGAUGUUGUCAAAGUCCUAACUGAUAAAUAAUAAAAUUUUGGACUAUAUAUUACAAAGGUUUUUGUACUUAUUUUCUUUAAAAAAAUAUAUAACUAGAUCACAAAAAUUAUACCUAUCUAGUACUAAACCAUUUUUAUGGCAACCAAUUCAUUACUAAUUUUAUUUCCAUUAUUGAAUUUAUUUAUUGUUUACCAAAAGUGUUCUCAUACCAAAGGUCUAUUAACUUCUAAUAUUCUCCAUAAUUUCUUCCGCUUUUGGUUUUCUGUAGCUAUAUUUUUCCCAAUUGGAAGAAAAGUGUGUAGUAUAUAUAUAUAUAUGCAAUAACAUUUGACAUAACAAUAGUUGCCUCUAUUCUAGACAUUUUUUUCAACAAAAUUGCAACUUAUCAGCCUUUUCCAUUUUCACUUGCAGCCUUAAUAUUUUCAAUAGGAUCUUUUUUCACUAUAAUCAAAAUUUUUUUUAAAAGAUUGAAAUCUUCUUGUAAGGUCUAAAAAGGAGGGUGAAUUAUGUAGUUCACAAAUUUUCAAAUUCAAAACUAACUUUAUCCAAGUAAAAAAAUUUUCCAUUCAAGUAUUGAGAAAAUAAUAGUAUAAGAAUAUGACAAUCAAACUCAAUCAACAAACUGUACGGAAGCAAUUAAAAAAAUAAAAGGUAAAGGAAUAAGAUAUUCAAACCGAUUUUAAAGUAGUUCGGCCAUCCUCGGUGCCUAUGUACACUCCAAGUUUCUUUAAGUUUUAGUAUUUCUCCACUAAGUGUCUCUUCAAAUGUAAGUGAGACAAUAACCUUAAUGCAUAGAAAUGAGGCUCAUUCUUACUCACAUUAAGUAUCUCUACUCUAAUUGAGUCAAGAGUUUUACACUCACAACCUCUUUUUAUCACAAAAGUUAUCUCUCCACUCUUACACUUGAAGAACACUCAUUUUAAUUUUACAAAUACAAGAGUUUUUACCAAAAUAGUUUCUCUAGGUAUACCACAAUCUAAGGCCAAGAACUUUUUCAUUUGGGAAAGUUUGGGUCUUUUAUAGGUGCAGGAAAAAAAAGGAGAAAUAAAGCUCCAAAAAUCAAAAACAGAGUUGCUGAAAAUUAGCCGUUAGACACUAUGACUGGUAGUUCAGUCAGCCUAAAGGAGUUCAGGUGGUCUAAUGGAGUUCAACAAGUAGUUCGGCAGGCCUAAUUUCUCCUAAAAGCAUUUUCCAUUUUUUGCUUCAAUACUACUACAGUAACUUCGGUCAUAUCCUACAGUAACUUCGCAUGGCUGAAUACUAUAGUGCCACUGUUCAUUACUAUAGUACGACUAUUCAUUACUACAGUACCACUAUUCACUGUUAUAGUACUUUUUUCCAAUUAUUCUGAUUUUUCUUCUUUUCUUCAAUUGUUCUCAACUCCUUUUUCUCAACAGCUUUUCUUGAUAUAAUUGAGAUUUAGAUCAAAAUUUAAAUCUCUAAUUUCUAUACUCUACCUCAUUGAUACUUUGGAGCUUUCUUCAUCUCUUUUUAUCUUCAUUCUUUGGUGGAAUACUAGAAUAAAGACUUUCUUGAUCUUGUUUGAUACAAACAUAAUUUCUUAUUCAUUUGCCACCUUUCUGUGUAUUGUUUCACUAUGAUUUUUGGGAUGGCCAAACAUGCAUCCACAGUUUCAUUUCAAUUUCAUUACAUGCUCACUUCUUCUCCAAUCAUAUUUAUACUUUGACAUUCUCUUCUUUGAUCCAUUUAGAGCAUCCUACUUGAUGAGUUCUAAAUUUGAGUUCACUUCAUCUAACAAAUCACUUAAUUGAACUAUUAGUAUUUCACAUCAUUAUUUAUUAUUCAUCAAAACAAGAGCUCAUCUAGACCAUGUGGUCUUCACUUUUUUACUUACAUUUUUUUGAAAAUGUUGUCUCUUAUCACUCAAAAACUCACAUUUUGGUGAUCUAUUCCUUUUUUGGCUCUCUCAAUUGACAAAAAUUCAAGUAUUUUAGUUGCUCUAAUUGGAAAACCAAAAAUAACUCAUAUAUUAAUUCUUAUGAUGUUGUUUGAUAAUUAGGUUUCAACCUCAAAAAUGGGUUUCAUGCUUAAUCACACCUGUGUAUAUAUUCUUUGUUUAAGUCCAAUUGGAAUUAAUCGAUGGGUAUGACAGUUUCAUUCUAUGAGUUUUAUGCUUGACUAAUUUCUAAAAGUUUAUUAUCUUGAUUGUCCAUCAUUUUCAUUUUAGCAUAAAAGAAAAUUGGGAACGUUUGUUGAAAAAAAAUAAAAGAAAAUUGGGAAAGAGGAAAUUUACAAAAAUCUUCUCUUCUUCCUUUUGCCUUCAUUCUCAUCCAGUCACCUUUUAAACUCUCCUCCUCUCUCUCCUCACCUUUUACUCUACGCUUCUUCUCUCUUUUCAACCCUCCCUUCCAUCUCUCACCUAUCUUCUCAAUCAAUCUAUAUAUGAUCUCUUUCCAUAUAAAUUCCUCCUAUGAACCACCUGGUAGCGACUUUGUUGUGGUAAAAGCAAUGGUUAAGCAACAAGCAGAAUAAAAACUUAGUUAUUGAUGAUAUGAUGAGGUUUUUUAUAUAUUUGAUGGGGUUCAAGUACCAAAAUUUUGUUAGAUCUAAGAUGAAUUAGGUGAAAAUAGUGUUCCCACGUCCAUGGUUUUUUAUAUUUUUCUCCAAAUUCAAUUUUUCAAAAAAUGUUUAUGACAUAAAAUUAGAAAAAUGAUGUAUUUCUAAUGGGUUUUGAAUGUUAAUGAGGGCUAUUGUGUUUUUUUUCAUUUGAAGACCAAAUUUUGACAUUUAGAAUUACAUAUAUGGAUUCUAUUCAAAGGAAAUUAUUUGAAAGACUACCUUGAGCUGUUAAGGACUAUAAUGGAGUUGUUACUAGUAGCUAGAAUUCCACAUCAAUGGCUAAUGUACGGUUAGAAGUUAAGAGCAUGAUUUACUUAUUUAGGGCUAGGUUAGAAGUGAAGAGUGUGAUUUACUUAUUCAGGGUCUUGGUAAAAGAAUGAAGAUAAGAGGAAAUGGAAAAAAGAAAAAGGAAAAUUUGAAAAAUGACAAAGAAGAUGAUAAAUUCUAAAAACUCAUUCCACAAGCAUGUAAUACCUAACAGCCUUUGAGUUUUGAAUAAAACCCAUUCUUAUUCAUUAGUUAAUGAUGGUAAUAGUGGUAAUGAUUGUGGAAUUCAGACCAAAUGGUUAUUUGUUAAUGUGCAAAAUUUUGCUGGAUAUUGUCCUUUUUCUAUAAAGAAAUGGCAUGCAUGACUAUGAAACAGAAAAAAUGAUUUCUUUUUUGGUUGUAGAGAUGAUGACCGUUAAUGUAGUAGUGUUGGUCAGUAAAUUGGUUCUCGAUUGCUUAAGAAUUAGCUUAUAAUAAAUCUUCCCAUUUCACAGUGGCAUGUUUAAUUAUUUUUAUCAAAGUUUUAUUUUUUGGGUUCAAACUAAAUCAAAUUUUUUUUUUGGUAAUGCUUUACUUAGUAGCUAAAGAAUUUUAUGAAGAAGAAUAUACUAACAAAAAAUGAUCAUUGUUUGAGUUUAAAUAUGGGUGAAUUUCAGUUUAGACCUCAAAAUAGGCCAAAAUUUUAAUUCAGCCCUUGAAAGUGUGCAAGUUCCAAUCCAAUUAAGUCGUGCAGCCUAGAAAUCUUGCUCCAAAAUCCAAAUAAACUCUUCCAUACUCAUGUCUAGUUAAUAAUGUUGACCAAACUUUAGUGGUACACAAAAAUAUUAUCAAGCCCUUAAAAGUGUGCAAGUUCCAAUCCAAUUAAGUCGUGCAGCCUAGAAAUCUUGCUCCAAAAUCCAAAUAAACUCUUCCAUACUCAUGUCUAGUUAAUAAUGUUGACCAAACUUUAGUGGUACACAAAAAUAUUAUCAAUUUUUUUAGGGAUUUUAGAGUAAUUAACCUCCCAAGUAAACGAGCACAAAAGGACAAAAUACCGCCAUUCUAAUUCGAUUUAGGUAACCAUGGUCUAUUGAUUAACGUUAAAGUCUUAAAAUUAUCCCCCUUUCCCCUAACCUUUUGUUUAUAAUAUUUUAUCCUAUUUAGCUCACUUAAGUAAGAAGUGAAUUAUUUUAAAGUCCUAAAAAUUAGAUAAAAUUUCAUUCUUAUCACUAAAUUUUUGUUAAAUGGUAUUAACCAAGCAUGAAUUGAUGAAAGGACUCAAGGUUCGAAUUUGAAGGGUUUAAUUUGGGUAAAUUCCCUUUUGACCCCCUAAACUACACCCUGUUUCCCACUUCAAUCUUUAAACUUCUAAAUGGGACACUUAAGUCUCCAAACUACUGAAUCCAUCCCAAUUAAGUAAAAUCAUUUACGGAUUCCACAGGAUCAUCAGGGUUUUUCGAGCGUGCAAAACAAGCGCCACUGACCAAGGACGGGGAUGAAAAUUCAGAGAAAAGAUAUAAAAAAUAAAUAAAUUUAUUUAGCACAAAGGAUGGAAACUUUCCCUCCUUUUAUCAAGCACAAUCGGGUCAUAUAAUUGACCCGAUCCAAUUCAUAAGCUGCGGAAGAGAUGUGCUCUAAUAAAAAAGAAAGCAAUUGGCUGAAUAUCGAAAUGAGGGGUAAGAACUAAAUGGUCGAGAGCUUUUGGAAAUCUGAAGAUAAGAAAGAAGACAAAGGAGAGAUGGUUAGGGACACAUGCAACUGUGGAAAACAAGCAUUGAUGAUGACAUCAUGGACAAAUUUAAACCCAGGAAGAAGGUAUUGUCGAUGUCCAAAUUACAGGGUGAUUCCAUUUCCAUUAUAUCUGUUUGCACUUCUUCCCCUAUGGUUUUGAUUUGUAUGUAAUGCACCUAAGUAAACUUGUAUUUACUCUCUCAACGGUGUUGUUAAUGUAGGAAUCAGGGGGAUGCAGGUAUUGGGAUUGGGUGGGUCCUGAGAUAUGUCAAAGGUCGAAGGAUAUAAUCCCUGGACUGAUAAGAACAAAAUACAAAUUGGAGUCUGAGAUUGAGAGGUUGCAAGAGAACUCAAAGCUACAAGAAGCAAAACUAAGAAGGCUGAAGAUGUACUUGUUUCUUCACUGGGUUGUUGCUGUUGUAUGGAUCCUUUUGUUCAACUCUGGGCCAUGAAGGUCAUCAUUAGAGUUUGACAAGAAAAUGUCCAUGUAUGUGGGAAAAGAAGCAACGGUGUAGUAGAGUGCAACAUGCAAUGCAAGGCACAAUGGUGCUAUGUAAUUGGGAUGGAAAAGAUGUAAUUUUGUCUCUCUGUAUAAGCUGCGGUUUCUGGUGUAAUGUAGCUAUGCUUGAAGAAGCACUAGGAGCUGACAUGCUCUUUUGUUGGAACUUUAGGGACCUAAGUGUCCCUAUCUAAUGAAGUUUUGGGAUUGAACCAUCCGUUUUUGUAUAGUUGAGGGACUAAAGUGUCCCAACUUAUUGAAUUACUUUUGGCAGUAAACAUUAAACCUGUAAACAUAUGUAACACCAUCAACUGUUUGACACAAUAGAUGCAAUCGAAAAUGGACUGAAUUUGAUCAUUUAAGAAGAAGGCAUUGAUAGGGUGCAUUUUAGUGGGGUAUUUUGGGCAUUAUUGCACAAUUAUUUGACUAAAUAUUUUCAUUAAUUGGGUGGAUUCUACUGAUAUUUUGUUUUGAUGCUAACUGCAAGAAUUGGUACUAAAAAGUGCUUGAAAUCGAAAUUUAGAAGAUUCGUCGCACGGGAGCCACUUCAAGUACUGGGGUCCGCUCGAGAAGCUGAAGAAACUUAAUUGUAAUAGGUAUUAUUUUAUUCUAUUUUGAGGGAGUCUUGUUUUAAUUUUGGAAAAAUAACAAUUUUCCGGAGGGGAAAAAUCCCUUCUUGGAACUUCGGUUGACAACAGAGGCCAGAGUUAACCUUUCGUCUGGCUUAGGUUUUCUUUUCGGGUUUUUUUUCAUUGGGAAGAGGGGAGGAGCCGCAGCUUUGAAAAAACCAUCUGAGGAGACAAGAGCCUCCAUUCUUGACUUUGUAUUGCUUUUCGUCUUUCGUUGACUUCAGAUUUCUUGGGCUUUUCCAAUUGCAUUGACCAAAUAGGGAAAUUAAACAAUUGAAACCCAAUCUCUCGUAUGUUUUGUGAGGAAAGAAAGAAAGCAACGAGGAGCCGCAAUUGUGGACCUUUGGAAAUGCUUUUCAUUCUGGCUUUGACCGAAGGAAAUUGAAAGUGCAUGCUCUCUGUACGAUUAGCUUUGGAAAUCAAUUGAAAGCAACCAUAAUCAAUUGUUUCUUUUUCUUUUUUCGGUUGACCGAAGUGAACGAGGGUCAAUUUCUUCCGUUUGCUUUGAUUAAAGAAUCGACGGCUUCCUCCAGCUUUGCCCGCAUGGCCUGUACUCUAAUUAUGGGGAACUAAACCCCUAAUUCUAGUCAAGGGGACAACUGAUGAUUUGGCUCGGCAAUUACUGUGAGAUCGAAUUUAUUUUAACUGUUUCCUCCAUUUAUUAAUAUUUAUAUGUUUCCCGCUUUUAAUUGUUAUAACUCUUGUGUAUGAUUGAUUAGUGCGCAAUAAUUAAUUAUUCAUAUAAGCUAUUUUACUAAAUAGGGAUAAUUGAAUCCGUAAUUGUUCAUUAUCUUUAUCUCAGUAGCAACUGGCGUAAUUGAGUUUAUGUCAGGGGAACAUACAAUCUAACUUAAACAAACCCUCGUAGCGUGUUUGUUAGUUAGGAUUGGGCCUUUCUAAUUAUUAAUGCAAUCUAGAAAUUAAAUCCUACAGUCGUACCUAAGGUUUUUUUUGGGUUAGAAGAAUAGCUAACGGUCGUACCUUAGCUAUCGAUAAAUUAAGAAAGGGUUAGUUGUUUAUCGCGUGCAUGACAACUAUAACUACUCUAUUAAUAAAUGUUGGAAUUAUUUUUGAAUCAAUGAUCAGUUGCAUGAACCAUUUCUGAAGUGCACCAUUGGCUAGAGUUUCUCUUAGUUAUUUCUUUUAAUUAAUUAUUUUCUGCAUUUAAUUUGUUUAGUUGGCAUUUAAUCCCAAAAACCCCCCUAUAAAUCUCGAUUUGAAAAGAAACAAAUUUCUUGCUAGUCCCUGAGGAGACGACCCUGCUUGCCACUGUCUACUAGUUAGUGAAUUCAGUUAAAUAAUUAAUUCAAGUAUAUCGGAUUAAACAAACUCUUCGGGAACAGGGUGAAUCAAGUAACCAAUUGCACACCUAGAGUCCCUGCUCCAGUACUCGAAUUGAUUAUUGACUGCUUUAAGUGGUAGUUAGGUUUUAUUUAUUAUCAUUGCACAGGUUCAGCACCUGUCAGGCAUGUUUAGCCUUACACCAAAAGAUCAGAAGUUUCACAAAUAUACAAAACAACAGCUAGAAUUUCUUGGCAUUUACAAUAUCAUUUGCCAUUUACAAAACAUAAUGUGAACGAUUUAUAGCAACAGAAAUUCACAAAACCCAGCUAAACAUAGAGUUGUACAUUGCCAUUGCUAGUUGAAUGAUUCACGUGACCUGCUGCUGCUUGCAAUGUAAACAGAUUUACACACAUGUUCCCCCUCCAAGUGAAAGGGGUUGGUUGAAGUCGUCCGCUGACACGGCUAGUUGAACCGAACUCUUCUGUCUGCCUAUCAUCAAUGUAUGAGUCUAAUGGUUUCAUUGUUAUCCCUGGACUGUGUCAAUAAAAUUUGUCACCAGUAUUGGAGUUCAACUGCAUGUCAGGAGAUAAGAAGUAGUUAAUAGGAGAGUGAACAUAUUCCCAUCUCACACAGCAACAAAUGCAAAUUUCAAAGCACUUACAUGUCCAGAUUCAGUUCUCUUUGAAGCUGUCUCAUAUGGGUUAAUCAGAGAAUCAAUCGCAGCUCUGUUGAGUCCAAAUUCUCCAGUCAUGUCUAGUGAGUUUCUAAAGGUCCAUUACCUCAACUUGCAACCUUUCUUUGAAUGGUCAGAUUUCCUGCAAAAUGAGCAUUUUCUUGUGCCCUUGACUGGUUGUUCUCCACCAAUUUUCUGUUCAGUCUGACUUUGAGGAGCAGCUGUGCAGCUCUCUUGUGUACUUAAUUGAGUGACAUUAGCAGUACUUGGACCAGUACUAGUAUGCCUUGUUUCAUUUCUGAUGGCAUCUGUUUGUUGUGUACUGGUCCCACUAGAUUCCUUAUCCAUAUGCCCAUCUCCUCCCUUUUCUACUGGACCAGUUUGCUGAUUUUUUUCAGGACAGCUCCUUCUAUUAUGGCCGUAUUUCUUGCACAGACUACAACUUAUCUUAGUGCCAACCUUGCUAACUUUGUGAGGUUUAGAUGGAUUCACACAUGACUACCUAUUCCUAUCUUCAUCUGGUCCCUUUUUCCUUACCUUUUUGGCCUUCCAGGUGAUUUCCCAUAUUUUGGAAGCUUCAUUGGUGGUAAAUCUACUGGGGCUCAUAGAUUAGGACCAUUGAUUAGAUUCAACACAGGUUCAUAACUCUUCAUGUAUGUACUCUUCCAAUAGAAGGGGGCCACAUUUUUUUUCUGAUUUGUCACGUCUCCUAUUAAAAGCAGCAACUACAUGGCCAUAUGGGAUUCCCCUCAGUUGCCAUUUUCUACAAGUGCAGGUCUUGCUCCCUAAAUCAACGACAAACUGGUCACCAAAAUGACAGCAUAUCUGAUACUUCAUUGUGCCAGCAUAAUAGCAGAUGCACAUGCAUUGCUCUUUCUUGGCCUUCUCAAGAAUGUCAAAAAUUGCUGGACAUAAGAGAUCUAACCAAUAAAAGGGCAAAUUAGAUAUUGAACAUAGUGUAACUUUAAAAAUGAUGAUAAAAAACAGUAAGCAAGUAGCUUAACCUUCAUGCUUGGACAUUGCCUUUCUAUUCUUCUCCAUUCUCUUCAACAAAUAUAAGUAAAUAGUUUGCAACAUGCCUAUGAUAGGCAGUGAUCAUGCCUUUAAAAUAACUGAAUUAAAAGAUUCACACAUAUUAUUAACCAAUAUAUCGCAAUCCAAUCCAGUCUUGAAAUGAGCCCUAAACCAAGUAUUGGGGUCCUUUUCAUCCAACCAUGUAUAUGCAUCCUUUGAUUCUUGCUUCAUCAUCUCUAUUUCUGCUUUGAACUGAGUCAUAUAUGAAGCCCUUGCACAUCUUCAAAGCCUAUCUUUAAGAGUAAGACCUCUAUGCAUUUGCUUGAAGUUAGUAUAAAGGUGUUGGACACAACACCUAUGCUCAGCUUCUGGAAGUUUGUCCCUAACAGCCUAAACUAUACCCUUUGCAACACAACACAACAAUCACAUAUGCCACACUAAUAUCAAUAGUUUAACAUAAAUAGUUAAUGGAUAACAAAUUAAUAAAUACUACCUUCUGUUUGUCAGUCAUAAUGCACCAUGUACUAGAGUCUGAAAUUUGUAAAUCUUGUACAAGCAAUCCUAAAGACCAACUCCAGUUAUCAUAAUUCUCUACCCCAACAACUGACAAAGCCAACGGAAACAUUUUGUUAUCACCAUCCAUUCUAACUGCUAAUAAAAGCUGCCCAUCAUAUGGACCUUUUAGGAAGCAACUAUCUAACCCAAUCCACUAUCUACAGCCAGCUAAAAAACCUCUCUUUAUUGGUUCUAAGCGCAUAUACAGCCUUCUAAACCUAGAAACACCAUCUUCAUCUAUAUCAGUCUUAACAAACACAGUAAAUCCCGGAUUUGCCCUCCUCAAUUCACCACAAAUGUUUCCAACAUGGUGUACUGUUUGUCAUGGAACCCCUGAAUAGUGUCUCUCACUUUUCUAAGUGUUCUAUACCCUUACUUAAGGCUAAAAUCAAUAUUUAACUCCUCAAUUACUUUGGUCAUCAACUCAUGCACUGUCAUAGAUGACACUUUCCUUACCUCAUCAACAAAUAGUUUGCUAGCCAACCUAGAUGUCAUUUUUUAUUGUGGAACACUCUUCCACAAGUGUGCUCAUCACUAAGUGCUUUUAUUUGAAAGGUGUUUUCAUCUUGCAUUUUAGACCCAAAUAGCUGCUAGUCACAAUUUCUGCAUUUCAGUCUCACCCUACGUGUGUCAUUUUUCUUGAAACACACAUCUCUCCCAUCCAUUAUUGCUUGGAUUCUUACAGCCAACCUGAAUGUAAUGACUGAUGUGAACUUCUGACCAACUUCAAACUUUGGUUUCUUCAUGUCUGUUAACUGGAAAUUUAGGCCUCCUUGUUUUACUAUUCCCAUCUUCAUCAGAUUCACUUUGACUCCUCAAUUCAAAUGAAUCAUCCAAGUCAUAUUCUGAUUCAAUGUCAUCAAUAUUAAUCAUAUCAGGGUCAUCACAACAGUUAAUUUUAAUGGGUGGGUCUCUCUUCCUUCUUGGCUUUUUCUUUCUUUGCUCACUACAAUGAGAAGGACCAGGUUUAUUGCAAUGCGAAGGGCCAGCUUCAUGUGCACCUAGGUCUACUCCAAUAGUUUGACCAAUUUUGAUGGCUUCAUCUAAUACGUCAUUGUCUCCCCCUGGAUCCUCAUAGUCUGAAUCUGCCAUCUUCUUAUCAACAUUGACUCCAUUUUCUUCCUCUUCUUGUCUGGCAAUAUCACAUGAUAUUUCCCCUACACCACCUUCAUUGCUGGCUGCCUUUUGUGCAUUUUCAUUGCAAUUUUUACAUUCAUUUUCUUCUCUGACUUGUGCAUUUAAAGCUUCAUCAUAACCUUCAACAUCUUUUUGUUCCUUUGCAGCAUCACUCCUAUUAUCAGCUUUCUCUUCUACCAAAUGUCGUGCCCCAUUUUUUUGAGAUAAGAAUAAAAGAUGAGUUUAAAAAAAAUGGCUUUUGAUUCAAUUUUUGAUUGGAAAAUGACUUUUUGAUUUAAAAAGAAAAUGAAAAAUAUGAGUCUAAAUGGGACUUGAAAAUGUGACGAUUUGACCCAAAAUAUAGUUUAAAAAGGGUUAUUUGAAUUAAAAAUCGGAAUCGCCACUUGGUAUAGAGUUAAGGUGUACCAAGUCACCUAAAAGUGAAUUUUUAAAGAAAAGUAGAAAACUCUUUUCAAACGAACCCCAAGUCUACGAAAAUCAGAGAAAAAGAUUCGGGAGUCACAUUUGAAGAAAGAGAAGGCAAGGAUAAGAAUCCAAGGCACCAUUUCAACCUAGCCAAGGCUAGUUGCGUGAUUUAGUCAAAGAUUUUCUUAUAUUACCCUUAAGAUUUAUCACAUUUGGAUGUACUAUAUGAAUGCAUACCCUAGACCUAAGAGGGUGUCAGGGGGGUUCGAAAUGUAUCUUCAAAGCUUACUUGGUACCAAUCACAUUAAUUGUGACGCCCAAUAAAGACUUUUCGAAAAAAUCACGAAUAAUGCAAGUCAUGAGACUCGAAAGAAAGGAAAAGUAAAGAAAAUAAUAAUAUACAAAUGUGUAUGACCUAAAGGAAUGCAUCAUAAUGGGUGCGGGGGACUAAUGUUCGUGACUCAAUUUUCCCUUUAAUAGAGGGAAUACGAGUGUGCUAAGGCUAGAAAGCCAAACUCGUCAAUAUCCCAUACUCAAGGGGUUUUUUCUAGUCUAACCAAGCAAAUGUACUAACCUAGGUUUAAUACUUAGAUGAAACGCAAGUCUAAUGUCAUGUUUCAUACAAAGGGGUAAGUAAUAUACAUAUGAGGGAAAAUAUGGGGGAAGGGAUAUACGUAGAAGGAGGGAUGUCAUGCAAAAAAAUGAUAAAAGACCCUAAAAAGUGAAAACAUGCAUGAGAUGGAGUGAUUUUAUCACACAAUCAUGAUCUAACGCUCGAGGGGCUCCUAAGGGUCUAGCAUUGGACUAGCCCUUUUACUAAUACUCUCUCACAAGCAUUGGACUUGUGAGGGCUCGAGGGGAAAACCAUGACUAGCAUUGGACUAGCCACGGUAACGUGCAUUCAUCCACACAAUCAGAUACAAUAUUAAAACAAAUAGACAUGCAAAACACAUAGUUUCACAUAGCACGUAACACAUAAGCAUGCUUGUCUAGAUGCAGAAUCCUAGGGAAACGAUUAAACACAUAGGCAUAUAGGCACACACAAGCACAUAGCACACAAGCCCUAUCUAUUACAAAAGGGGAUGCCUACUACAGUCUAAAGGGGAGAUAAAAUAAAUAAAUAAUUAAAAUAAAUAAAUCUUUAACUAUUACAAAUUUGGCAUCCAAGUGCCUUUCAAAUGAGCAAAAUUGAACUACAAUAAAUAUUCAAAACUAAAGCCAAUAAGUAAGUAAAUGAUAAAGAUAAAACACUUUCAACAGGCAUGCAAUUAAACACAUAAAGUCAUAUAGGGCAUGUAGGAUCCAAUAAAGUGAGAAAUAAGGGAUAAAACGUACCUCCCUUGAGGUGGGGCCCUAAUUGAAUGAAAUCACUUAUUUACCCUCCAAAAUAAAAGAAAAGGUCAAGGCAUCUCAAAUAAUCACGUUUAUACGAAAUUGAAUCAUUAAAUGCAUUCAAAUGCCUAAACAGUCCAUAUUCACAAGAUUAGGAUCCAAUUGAAAGGAAAAAGAAAGUUCAAGGGGGGCAAUUUGAUUGAUUUUUUAAUUAUUUGGGCCAUAGUAUAACAAAAAGGAACUUGGGGGGUUAAAGUGUAAUUUUUAGAAUUACUUUCCAUGCAUGCUACGAAGAAACAAAUUCUCAUCUCUGGUUUCCCUUUCUCUGCAGCUUACUGUGUUUCAUUACCAACCCAAACAUUACCAACAAACAUCGACUUUUGAAUCAAACGAUCACAAGACACUCCCCCAAUCAUCAACCAAGCCAAAUAUUACAUUUGUGUUGCAAGACCGAAUGAGAAAAAUCUGGUUUAGUGAUUGCUAGAAAAACAAAGUGCAGCAGUAGUUUUCGUAACAGCAAAACAAGAAAAUGCAGCAACAAUCUUUAACUCUUGUUUGAAAUGCCAAAAACAAAACGUUCAAGAAAUCAUGCUUAAGCUCAGACCCUGAAACAAACAAGAUGCCAAACAUGCUAUGAAUCAAACACUCAUCAGAGAAAACGCAUGCCAAGCUGAAGUUUUCCUUCCCACAACACUUUGUCUUCGACUUCAGCAUAUAGGAAACAACCAUGAAUAGCUUGCUGAAGCCUCCAACUUCAACUCUUAAAGACAUCAAAUUCCAAAUCAGAAAAUGAAAACCAAAUGCGUGGUUAAUAUUCGGGUCCCUCCCAAUUCAAAAUGUAUUCGCAAGGAAAUAAACUUCUGCACUGAUUUGCUUUUUUUUUUAACUUUGCAGGUGACCUGAUAGCAUGUGAUAAUCUUAACCAGAAAAACAAUCUCAAAUAUUUAACAAGCUUCCUAAACUCAUCACUGAAAUAUAACAUUGAAUGCACAAACGAAGGAAAAAAAUCUGAGCAAAGGAGGAAUUCAUCAGACCCCAGAUUCAUUCAUUAGUUUCAAAACUAAUGACUUUCCAAACACAGCUUUAACACCAGAUGUUGUUCAUGGCAUUUCACUCAAGCAUAGACAACAAAAAACAAGCAAGUCAAACGAGUCAUAGCUUCAGCAAAACGAAUACGUGAAAAUGACAGCCACUACAACCCAAAGUAAAACACAUGAAUUGGUCAAACGUUGCUGCAACAGAUUUGAGCAAGCCGAGAGUUGCAAACCUGUUGCAUUAGAAGCUCAAUCUAUUUCUAAGAAUCCAGAGCUACCCAACUACGAUAAAGGAUCUCACGAACAGGGGCAUAAGGCCAUAUUCAUCAGAAAUCAGCAAUAACAUCAUGUUCAUCAGAAAUCAGCAACAACAAAUCACAACCAAGAAUAAACGAACUAGAAAGCUGCAGAUCCUUACACAAAUAUCACCAGAUCUUCACAAAAUGGUAUGAAAAUGACAGGAAGAAAGGCUGGAGUUACCUACAAAUGUCGGUGAAAUAAAGCAAACGUGAAAUAUGUCCGAAAAAUGCAUGCAAAUUCCAGAAAUGAGAUUGAGAAUGCCGGCGCCGCAGAACUUCAGCGCUGAUGAAGUCGUCACCUUGGCUCCUGAUUUGGCUAUCUUCCUAUGGUUUUCCCUUCAAAAUUUCUGAAUGAAAAACACUCCCAUCACAUUGUAGAUGUUCCAGAUUACCCUAAAUCUCCAAUAAGGAGCCAAAUCCAUAGAAAAAAUUGCCUCCAAAGACAACAGAAAAUCAGCCUGGAUAGCAGAUUUUCUGGAAAAUUUUCUCUUCCCGCCGCCGCUCUUUCCCCUCGUUUUUCUCAGUUUUCUCCUCUAACUCUUCCCAGAUCUAACUCUCUCCCUCUCUUAUUUUGGUUUUCUUCCCUAUCCCAGAAAGCUCUCUAGUUUCCCCGGGCUCCUUUCUUCUUCGUGUUCCCUUUUCGCAAACCUCAGCCGAAGCCUCCCUCUUUACUUCGGUCCUCCUGUUUUUCCCUCAACCAAAGACGAAAGCCCUCUGUUCUUUUCCUUCCCUUUUUCGUUUCCUAUGUAGCUCCUCCGAAAGCUUCUCCCUCAGUUUUUUCUUUUUCCUUCUGCUUUUUCUUCCUCCUUCAGUCCAACGCUUUUUCUUUGUUUUCGUUCCUUUUCCCCGCAGCUUCUCUCUUUUCACCGUUUUCCCUCCUUCCGGGUCUCUAACUCAGCCGCCCUACUGUUUUUCUUUCUGUCAACCUCAGCCCUCCUCCUUUCUAGUUUCUCUCAGCCGUCCUUAGAUGCUCCCUUAGUUCUCUGCUGUUAUCUUUCUUUUCCCGUCGUUCUCCUUUUUGCCCCCCUUUUUCUCAGCCGCCCCUUCUUCCUUUUAUAACAAACAAAACACUAAACCCUCCUCUAAAGGGUUCUGAUGGAAGCCAAGUCAUUAGCCUUGUAGAUCAUCCGAUGGUGAACAAAAACAAGGAGUUGUUGUGCCUGCUUGAAAUGUUAUAUGAAGAAAUAGGCGCGGAUCCUGUGUAGCUCGGGUGCAUGAGCCUGUUUCCUUUUUUUUUCGGCAUUUUCAUUUUUUCAUUUUUCUCUUUUUCUUUUGUUUUUCUGAAAUUUAAUAUGAAGACAAAAUAAACCAGAACAAAAUAAAAUAAAAUAAAAAUUAAAACCCUAGAAUUGAAACAAAUAAACCCAUUAAAUUAAUUAAACAAAUAAAAUUAAAAGAUCAAAAAUUUGGUGUCUACACCAAAAUUUCAGUUUCAGUCGCUUUGCUAUUCACGUCUUCAUAUUCUGGUUCAUCUUCAGCAGCAACACUAUAAAAAUCCUCACUUUUUUGUUCAACAUCAGCACAUUUUCCUUGCUUGCCUGCAGUUUUUGGUGCUAUUUCUGGCCCAUUACUACUGUCUAAAUCUUUAGAAAACAGAUUCGGUACUCUCGGUGUCCAGUUGCUACUGCACCCUUUUGUAGUGUCUAAAUUUACUGGAUGAAUGUCAAUAUUUUCUCUACCAUCUUUUUCCACUUCAUCAGGGUCUAUACCUUUUUCUAUGAUUAUAACAUCACUGUCUCUAUCCCUUUCGGCUUCAUCUCCCUUAGCUUGACUUAAGGGUGCUACAGCCUGUGGAUAACCUUGUGAGAAAACUCUAAGAAACACUUCUGCCACCCUAUGUGGUGGUAAUAUGUUCACCAUCAUCUCACAAUCCCUAUCACACAUACAAAAGACCAAGCCUGUAUCCAAUGUCAUCCCUGGUAGCAGAUAAUACCACCCAAAACCAUCUUCUACAUCAUACCCAAGUCUCUCUUCACAUUUGUCUAGAGCUACUAAUGACCACAUUUUUGGGUUGCAUCUACCUAUAAAAUCAACCAUUCCCCCUAUAUACUGCUUGUUAGGAGAGUCUGUGAAGGUCCCUUGAUGGUGUAUCUUUAAGGAGAAAGGUUCAGGCCAAAUUCCACUAUCACCAUUUCCUGGUUCAAAGAAAAAUUUUUUUAAUUCAAUAAUUAAUUUUUUGACACCUUUUACAGUGAAUCGGGGACCACAAUGUCUUUAAUACAAGGAACAUUAGGGUUUGGACAAGAUAAACAUUGACUUAAAAAAGACCCCAAAUCAUUUUCAAGCCCAUACAUUCGACAUUAAACAAUUUUGUCUACCAUAAUUUAUCACUAACAUAUAACAUAUAGAGGUCAAUCUGGCCCUUUUUACAUUCCACAAUAUCACUACUAAACCUAACCGACAACAAUCAAAUAACCCAACUACUAUAUACGCUAUUAUCCAACAAGCAAACAAUGACCGUAAUAUCAUUUCUCUUACUGGGGGCGGCCUUUCUCUUCUUGUUCUUCAAUGGCAACCUCAUUUCUCCAUCAAACCCUCUUCAAUGGCGAUCUUGAAUUUUCCAUGUUUACAAUAAAUUUCAUCUCUGACUCACGGUCACUAUCAUUUCAAGGGUAUAGACUAGUAGAAAUUUGAUAAUGUAUUGUUCACACCUUUUUUCUCUCUCUCUCUCUGUGUUCAAAUCCAAGGUGAAGACGGCAGAAACAAAAACAAAGCUGUUUCGACUUAUUUUUCUUUUGCCCUUAUACCUAACGGGUGGCUAUUUUAGUUUUCAUGACUUAUCUAAUCUCACUAACGGCGCUUGUUUUGCACGCUCGAAGAACCCUGAUGAUUCUGUGGAGUCCGUCAACGAUUUUACUUAAUUGGGACGGAUUCAGUAGUUUGGGGACUUAAGUGUCUCAUUUACAAGUUUAGGGAUUAAAGUGAAAAAUAGAGUAUAGUUUAGGGGGUCAAAAGGAAAUUUACCCGGUUUAAUUUGGUAUCAAAGACAGAGAAAGAGGAUCCAAGGCAUUUUAAAAAACGCGGGAAAGCCAAGCCAAGCUGCAAAUUCCCGCCAUUUCAUGUUACUAUUUCCGCCCCCAACUAAGCAAAACACCAAAAACAAAUACAAAGUCCACGCCUGCUACCGCCGCCGCCGCAGCAGCCACCGGUUUCCUCCUGAAAUAGAGCUCCCAUGGCUGAAACUCCAAAGAAAAGAUCCAAACAAACCCCUGAGCACCAACAGCAUGAUCUAUCUUCCUCAAAUGCCAUUACAAUCCCUGCAACCCCAGUAGCCCUAGACCCCACCCCUGUCCGCCGAUCUUCCCGCCUUUACACCAACCCAACAGCGGCCACUGCUCCACCUCCUCCACCACCACGUUUCACCCGCCGUAAAUCCCUCAAUUUCACAACCACCACCCCCACCCCCACCCCCACCCCCAAAACCCCCAAGAAACCAGCUCCCCAAAGUCAGGAAGAUGCUGCUAAGCAGAUUUCGCCUAUAUCCCCCGAUCGAUAUGAAACUAGGAGAAAAAGAAAAUUAGAUGAAGAAAAGAAUGCGGGUCUUGCGAAAAAUAAGGAUUUGAAAGGGGGGAAGAAAAGGGUUUAUUAUAGAAAAGUGGUUUAUGAUGGGGGUGAGUUUUCUAUAGGGGAUGAUGUCUAUGUGAAGAGGAGAGACAAUGCUGAAUCGGAUAAUGAGGAUCCUGAAGUGGAGGAGUGUGUGAUGUGCUUUAAGGCUGGGAGGGCGGUGAUGAUUGAGUGUGAUGAAUGCUUGGGGGGAUUUCAUCUCAAAUGUUUGAAACCACCUUUAAAGGAGGUUCCAGAGGGGGAUUGGAUUUGCAGGUUCUGCGAGGCAACAAAGUUGGGGAAAAAUGUUGAAUUGCCUGUGCCACCUGCAGGGAAGAAGAGGGCUAGGACUGCUAAGGAGAAGUUGCUUUCGAGUGAUUUGUGGGCAGCCCAUAUUGAAAGGUUUGGAAAACACUUUUCCAACCAAUGUUAUGUUUUGAUGAUUAUGCCUCAACUGGUUAAUGAUUCCUGAUUACGUUUACACUGGUGAUUUUUGAAUAUCGCAUAGUAUGUGGAAGGAAGUGGAUGGUACUUAUUGGUUUCGGUCUCGAUGGUAUAUUAUUCCUGAGGAGACUGCUGCUGGGAGACAGCCACACAAUUUAAGGAGGGAGCUUUACAGGACUAACGAAUUUGCUGAUGUUGAGGUAGUAACUGCAAUCCCCUAAUUCACCGUAUAGGUUCACUUUUUCCAGAUGCAAUUGCUUAUGCUUUCAUGAUAGCGGACUGCAUAUUUAUAGAUGUUGGAGAAGAACAGGUUUAUGCCAUGAUUUUUGCAUAAUGUUUUGCAUAGUCCCAAAGUGUUGCUCAGUAUUGUAUGCUGUGUUUCUUUUUUGUAAUGCUUGGAUAACUGUAUAUUGCAUUGUUAAUUACCAUUGUGUACUGAGACUGUUUCUUUUAUGCACAUAGAACCUGGUAAAGAGCAGUUUGUGGGCAUUUCAUGGAAUGUAACAAUUGUUUUAUGAGAUUAAACAAAGGCUGUUGAGAGUCUGGAUUUCUCUAACUAUGAAGGCAUCAUGUUUCUAAGGGGUUCUUUUAGGACACAUGGAAUUUUCUGUGUUGACAUUGACUCUGUAGUACUUGUUUCUCUAGAUGGAAUCUAUCAUUAGGCAUUGUUAUGUUAUGAACCCUAAAGAUUUUAGCAAGGCUGCUGAUGAAGGAGACGACAUUUUCCUGUGUGAAUAUGAGUAUGAUGUAUGUUGGCACAGUUUCAAACGCAUUGCAGAAAUCUCAAAUAAUGAAGAGGUAAGUGUUCCUAAACUCUGAACAACAUAAUUGGGGAUGGUAAUGCUUUUGCAUUGGACUUGAUUGAGACUGAUAUAUGCUUUUAUGAUUAAUAGGAUGCUGAAGAGGAUGAAAGUGAUAAGGACUGGAAUUCUUGCGAAAUUACGGGCUCUGAUUCUGAAGAUGACACAGACUAUAAAAAAGAGAAGAUUAAUGGCUCCCAGCGUGGACCCUCAUUUGGUCCCUCAUUUGGUCAUUCAUUGGCUGCUGUAUGAUCUUUCUUUUUUUUUUUUUUUUAUAAAUCUCCUAAGUACUUAUUGGUAAUGGCAUCUAGUUGAAGCUGAUAGGCUGUUUUAAACUCUCUCAGAACUUGCGGAAGGGGCAAUUUUUUGGACUUCAAAAGAUUGGGGCAAAGAAAAUACCAGAACACACAAGAUGCCACAAACAAACAGAAAUUGGAAAAGCAAAAGCUAUGCUUCUACUGGCAUGCUUACCUAAGUCUCCACCUUGUAGGAAUAAGUGAGGAUGAUUGCAGUAUAUUGUUUAUUUCUUGUGAUUCUUUGGUUAUCAAAAGAUGACAGGUCAUUCGAUGUAGAGAAAUGGAAGAAAUAACUGCAUUUAUCAAAGGAGCUGUAUCUGAUGGUCAAUGCCUCGGAAAAUGUCUUUAUAUUCAUGGAGUUCCUGGAACUGGGAAGGUAAGAUCUAGUAGCUAUUAUUGCAACAACAGUCAUAUUGUUUCUAGACAACACAUUAAAGUUAGCCACAUAAUGGUAUAAACUUAUUCUUGUUGUUGCCAACCAACAGACAAUGACUGUCCUUGCAGUAAUGAGGACCCUAAAAAUCGAAGUUGAUUCUGGGAAUAUCAAGCCUUAUUGCUUCGUUGAGAUCAAUGGUCUAAAGCUAGCCUCACCUGAAAAUAUCUACAGAGUAAGGUUUUUGGCGUUUAAUUUAUUUAGGACAUUCAUCUAUUGCCUGAUGACAUUCUCUUCUUUAAUUAUCUUCAGGUAAUCUAUGAAGCUUUAACUGGACACAGAGUUAGUUGGAAAAAGGCUCUACACUUAUUGAAUGAGCGAUUCUCAAAUGGGACGAAUUGGGAAGAAGAAAAUAACAAGCCUUGCAUCCUACUCAUAGAUGAACUUGAUCUUUUAGUAACCAGAAAUCAAUCGGUAAUUGGCAGGAGAUUUAAGAUUAGCUACGUUAACAUCUGCUUUCUACAAAAUUUAGAAAAUUUUUUCACCCAUAACCACCUUGUUUUUCCUGUCUUGGCUUGUAAAUCACAGGUUUUGUACAACAUUCUUGAUUGGCCUACCAAGCCACAUUCCAAACUAAUUGUGAUAGGUAAACACCCACAUUCUUGAUUGGUUCAACAUGGCAGGCACAAUUUGAUGAUAACAAAAGAAUGGGACUUUAUUUCUGCAUUUUGAAUAUCAUUCCAGGUAUAGCAAAUACCAUGGAUCUUCCUGAAAAGUUGCUUCCACGCAUCUCGAGUCGGAUGGGCAUACAGAGGCUUUGCUUUGGGCCCUAUAACUACCAGCAGCUUCAAGAAAUCAUAUCUAGUCGCCUCAAAGGAAUUGAUGCUUUUGAAAAACCAGCAAUUGAAUUUGCUUCUAGAAAGGUUUUUUUUUUUCUCUUUUUAUAAAUGAAUUAUGUUUAUGUGUACCUCAUAAAGAGUUCACCUGCUUUGAAGCUUUCAUUACUAUUGGUGUUUAUGUUUCUAAAUUUAGGUUGCUGCUGUCUCUGGUGAUGCUCGCCGUGCACUGGAGAUAUGUAGGCGAGCGGCAGAACUUGCAGAUUAUCGCUUAAGAAAAUCACAAUCACUUAAUGAUUCCGCUGGUACAAGUGAGACCUCUUAGAUGUUGCUUUCAUCAAUCUGAAGAUAUUUUAAUUAGAAUGCAUGUCAAUCCAGCAUCGGAUGAAGAAUUGUACCAAUAGAGAAAAAGGAAUACCAACUUAUUGGCUCUUGUGCUUCUCAUUUUCAGUUAAGAAGAAUCUGCAUAAGAAAUACCCUUGAACUAUUUCAUGUAAUUUGGCAAUAAAUCUUUUCCAUUUUUGUUUUCAUCAAAUGAAUCGACAAUUUCUAAGCACUUUACAAUAUCCAGAUAGACUGCUAUGAAUUGCAUGGGCAUGUGCUAUCCCGGUUCAGAAUGAUCCGUGAAAGGACAUAUAUAGUCCAUAUAACCUGUAAUCAGAUCUGAAAAUAAAGCAUUUCAUGGUAGAUUGUGUUGCAAAAAUUUUAUGGCAUGAAAUUCAGUAAUAUUGCUUAUUCUUUCUCUAAUCCAAAAUUGAUGAAGCCAAAGUUUUAGUGUCCUUGAAGUUUCUGCAAGAUAUCAUGGUUAUGCAAGUAUUGCCAUUUUUCAUCUUUCAGCAUUUACUUAUAUCAUCGAGUAUGAGAGGCAAGAUAAGAGCAGGCUGGCCUUCUAUUCAACUUUUGGUAAAUAAAAGAAUUUAAGACAACAAUUUGUGAAAUGAUGGACUUGGUAUUGGCCCACAUAAAGUACUUUCUGACUCCUAUUUUUUAUUUUUACAAUGUUAAUAUUGUAAAGAUUUCUAGAAAUGCUGGCUAAUUCCUUAGAAUGUAGAUGUGUAAAGUUUUAGUUUGGUUACAGAAACUUAUUAGGCUAAAAUGCUGGGAAAAGAGAGUCAACGAUGAAAAAUUUGCUUCAGGAUUUGUGGAGACAUAUAGGAAAAGAAUUUAGACAUUGAUGAAACUUCUGCCUGUUCUACCUCUAUCUAUGUGGCUAGAUAAGUGAAGUGAUGUUUAUAGUACUUGUCGAAAGACCUGGGGACAUUGACAGCACAGUAACAUGGCUGGUAUUAUGUGUAUUUUGUGACACCUUUUCAUCAGAGGCAGGCAAUUUAUUUGAAGAUUAAUAGUGAUAAGUUGCACACUUAGAAUUGGUGAUGUGAUAAUAUUUAGGACAAAAAGACAUCAAUAAUCUCGUUUUCUGCAACAGAUGGCUUUAAGAUAUCAGGUCUGCACCUCUCUUUAGAUAUACCAAAUUGGAUGUCCAAUAGCUUCUUAUGGCAUCUAAGCCUCACAUGAUUUGGUGAACCAUUUGCUACCUGAUGCUGUAGUCAGAAGUACAGUUUUACACUAAAAUCAGUUUCUGUUCUUUUUGAAAGAGAAAAAGUACAGUUUAAUCCACAAUGUGAAAGUAGUAAAAGUACCUGUAGUUACUGCAGUUUUAUUAAUGAUUUUGCAGUUUUAAGUUCUCACGUUUAAGAUAUUUAAAUCCUGCUUAUUUGUUCCACGCCAGAAAAAUGUGGAUUCACAGUUUCUUUGUGAACUUAUCAGGUUUCAAUGAAUCAAAACAGGCACUAAUAUAGGGUUAAGGCAGUCAAUUCAAAAGUUAAACAUAUUUCAUACUAUAAAAUUUGUUUCAAAGUAACUAACCAUUUAGUGACCUUGUUCUCAUGAUCUUGUCGUCUGACAUUUUCUUUCAAGUCAUCCCAAGUAAACCAAUUUGUGGGGCUUUUUGGUAUUACUGCUCAUGCAAACCCUAAUAAGGCUUCUAAGCAUCACAAUGAAGGUUGAUACAUUUACCAUUAGCUGUCAAUUCUUUUGACGAACUUAAAUUUUGUGUAAAUUGAAGAAAGGUAAUUUGCAUCCCUUAAACAUUUAAAAAAAAAAAAUCAAAGCCAUAUCAUCGGGAUAUUUGAAAUGAAGCAAGCGAUGUAUGAAAAGUUAACAAAAAAGUCUUUGUAUGGAGCUGUAAUGACACCAUAUGCUGGUAUUACAGUUUUCCUUUUGAUCUAUCUCUACACCUUCUCGCAACUAGCUAAUGAACUGUUAACAUCGACCACCAGCUUUGUGAAGAUAGAUUCUGUCAGCUAGCAGGUGCCAAAGGAUUAAGUUAACUACCUUACCUUACAGCUUUAUAGCUGUAAGCUUCAGUGAGGACAUUGAAGAACUAAUUAUUGUGAUCUACACUGUCUUUUCUGUUGCACAACAUCUACUGUCCCUUCUUGAUGAUUGAUAUAAUAUACAUACAUAUGUAUAUAUGGUCUUCAUUUAUAGCACCUAAUGAUGAAAAAACUUGGCUUUGCUGAAAUAAGCAGGCAAUUUUACCCCCGUUCCUUUAGAAAUUUUGGGGUUCAGGAUGUACAUUGUGCAUUGUCCCCUGUUCUGCCUGGUAUGCUAAUGUUGGUGAUGAAUAACUAGAACUUCAAAUGUGUAGAAUUCAUUUCAUUAAGAACUAUGCCUGGUCCUUAAAAACUUGUGCUCAGAUGACGAACCUGCAUGAUGCCAUUUGUUCAGGAAGAAGUCUUGUUGGUGUGGCAGAUGUAGAAGCAGCAAUAAAGGAAAUGUUCCAGGCUCCUCAUAUUCAAGUAAGUAUACAACUGUGAAGUAUCACGUGAACACUACUCCAUUACAGUUCUUAGAGGAAUACAUCAGUGAUGUCAAGGAAAUGCUGUGCCGCUGUCUUGAGGGUGGAUCCAAGUAUUUGAUGGUACUAGUUCCCUGACAGGGCUUGAGUAAUCAAGUUAUGGAUACUAAUGAAGUCUGUUUUGAUUGAAAUGCAACUUGAUACAGCUGGCUUAAUAUUAGAUGUGGUCAUAAAAGGCCAAAAUUUUCUUCCUUUUUUUUUUGAGGCUGGGAAGGGAGUUCUGCCUUUGUAUUCUUUAGAUCAUUAAGUGGUCCAUAUUUCUUUGAUGUUCACUUAUUAACUGCAGUUUUCUUUUUAUAGCUAGUCUAUACAUUACUUACUGGAGAACCACCAUAUACACUGCUCAUACAGGCAUUAUUUAUGUAUUGACUUCGUUCGCAGGUAAUGAAAAGUUGUUCCAAACUGAGCAAAAUAUUCUUGGCAGCAAUGGUGCAUGAACUGUACAAAACUGGAAUGGGUGAAACCAGCUUUGAAAAGGUUAUAUGGACCCUUUCAUUCUUUGAUUUUUAUUCUUCUUAGAAUGAUGGUUAUGAAUACAGCAGUACUAGUAUUGUUGUUGUUAGAGUUAAUGUUGUUAUUACUAUCAUUUUUGUAGUCUUACUCCUUGCUGCUGUGCUACCAUCUGAAUGCCUGAGUUAUGCAUCUUCACAUGGUUGCAAGCUGCCAAUUGCUUCCUUGGCACAUACAGCGCUAUCAUAUUUUGUUUGUCUUAUCUAUUACUUUUUCUAUUACCACAAGAUAGUAGAUACAACUUGCUGUUUCUUUGUGAUUUAUUUUUGAUUCCGCCAAACUGUCCUUGGGAUUUCUUUUUCCUUCUUUGUUUUUGGAUGUGGCACCAGGAGUUGGGGAAAGGGGAUGGGGGAUUUAGCUUUUUCGGGCUGUUAGGGUAGCUUGACUAUAUUGUUUGGUAUGAAAUCUGAUAUUCUGCAUCCAGCCUCCAGCUGCUGCUGAGAGGUUGUUGAAUGUUAGUUGAUGCCACAGCAGCAGCUGGAAAGUAAAAGAUUACAUUCAGUGUCAUUCAAAAAUUGAAUCUUCCCAUUUUUAUCAGGUUUUACUGUUUCUGUUUUGUGUUGACUUUUCUUUUAAGUUUUUAAAGAUUUUUUUUAAAUUAUAUUCUGUGGGAGAGGCUAUAAUAUUAUAUUGCUCUUCAGCAUAAUGUCCGUAAAUGCUUGCUGUAUAUGCAGUUGGCAAUGACAGUUUCAUGCCUGUGUACAAGCAACGGUGAAGCAUUUCCAGGAUUUGACACACUCUUUAGAGUUGGGUAAGAUGCGUAAAUAGUUGUAUUUCCUUCAAUCAUGUGAACCAAAGUAUAUUGUCAGCCAUAUUCUUGUAGACCUUGUAUUGAAAUGACUUCAUUUAUGUGCUCAAAGACACGAAAUAAGUGUGACAUUUGUGUCGUUGCCAUGUAUGCACUUACUAAUUAGCAAAGAAGAUUUAGACCGAAUUUGAAGUUCUAAUGUGCCCCAGAGUUAAAGUUGAGGAAUUUUCUUUUCACUCCUUGUGUUUGAUAUUGGAUCUAAAAAGGAUUUCUUUGUUUUUGUUCCUUUCUUCUGUAGUUGAAAAAUCAAAGACCUUUUUUCCGUGUUACCUUGAUCAUUCAGAGGCUUAUUGUUAUUGAUAACAUAAGAGUGUCUCUGUACAUUGCUGGAAUUUGCAUCUUCGUUUCAUUUUAGUGAGCAUCGAAUUCUCCAUUAGAAAAUUAUAGAUGGUGAAAAAACUUGAGCUGACAUGUAGUGAGGUAAUCUAUGUGUGUUGAGUCCAUGUCAGAUGAAUUUAAAACCUAUUUACCUCUAGUGUUUCUAAUAUUGUGGCAGAUGUAAGCUUGGGGAAUGUCGAAUUAUAUUAUGUGAAGCGGGAGUCAGACACAAAUUGCAAAAAUUGCAACUCAAUUUCCCAAGGUCAGUCAUCACCAAGCCCUUUGUUUUAACUGAAUAAUCAUUAUUCCUCUGAGCUUACUUUCCCAACUUUAACAAGUUUCAAUUAACUGCUGUCUGAUACUGUGCUUGUGGCAUCCAGAGGUCUUGAAAAAAAGUGUAAUCCAGUUUUACUAAUUAGGGUGUCUAAGAGCCAAAGGCAGAAAACUUUGUCAGCUUGGUCAAUACUUGUGAUUUUAGUUGAAGACGUAUGUUCAAUGCCACAUCAUUGCAAAUCAAAAUACCGGCCAUCAAAUGGAUAAAUGGAUUGACUGGUGCUGACAUAGGAUAUCAUUUUGUUACCAUUCAGUUAGAUGACUCUCCUGCAUAGCAUCUCUUGAAGCUGGCAAUUGUAGAAAAGAAAUAAAAAUAAAAACCGAAUUUAGGUGUGUGGGAGACUACAUGACAGGUCGACAGUUACGUUGUCUAUGCCUCUGAUUUGAUAUUUAGUUUGUGUAACAAAAAUUUAAGAUGACAAAUAUAAUUGGCCUCAUUCAGGAUGGAACUAGUAUAAUGGUCCAAAGUUUGUGCCUGCAACAUUUCAAUUUUUCAUAUACAAUGAAUAUAUGUGCCUGCAGCAUUCCACUUUUUUGCAUCUGAAUAUUAUGUACAUUGAAACUAGAUUACAGUCCUGAUGUUUCUGUUGAAUUUUGCAGUGAUGAUGUGACUUUUGCCCUCAAAGACAGCAAAGACCUACCAUGGUUGGCUAAAUACCUGUAAUCACAAAUAGUGAGAUGCUAAUGCAUUCUUUCCCGCUUGUGUACUACAGAUUUAUUCUUUUUACGUUUUCUAAAACCCUCUCAAUUUUGCAAAUUCAUUUUUAUUUUGGGAUCUAAAUCCCUGUUAUGAUUGUAGAAGUGGGAUUAUAAUUAUCGGCCUUCCACAUGGCAAGGCACUUAUCAGAUGUGCACUUCUUAGUUUUGAUAGGCAUUUAUAUAUGCUUUUUCCUGCAAAUGACUAAACUUUUUAUAUCGAAUUGAUGAGUAUUUAGUUGCAAUGAAUUUUAGCGUCAGUGCAUGGGUGUUUCUUGAAAUAUUUUAACGGAACUUUAUCAUAGAUGUUUCUGAAAAAAUAUACGGGUGGGGAACCGUUGCUACAGGGAUAGGGUGGCAAGGAUGGAAAUGUGAGGUGUUUUCUGGUGUUUGGAUUGGGUACUUAUUGUUUAUCUAGAUCUGUUUUAUAGAAACUAGUGUUUAUGUAGCACCUUGCCUGCAUUAGCACCUUUGAUGUCUUCGCUAUAUCCAUGAUACACGGUUUAUCUUUAAAGAAAGGGAAAUAAGACUCCCAUGUCUGUAGUCUUUCAGGUCGACAAGGCUUCUGGACCAUCUAAGUAAUGCCAAGAAGCUUUUCUGUAUUUUUGUCAUCACAGCACUUGUGCUGCAUGGAGUCCAAGUUCUACUUGAGCUAACAAUUUCCUGUGUCAUCUUUAUCCAUUAUGAUAUUAGGCACAAUGCAAAUUUCAGAUCCUUUUAUUCUCAAUAAUCUUUAGCACGUCCAAGGAGAGGUUUUGAAUUUGAACCUUUAGAACUUUAGUGUUAGUAUGUGUUUUUGCACUCAAAAUGUCAAUGCAAGUUUGUUUCUAAUCUUUUCCAAAGUGAAACCAUACUUGUCUCGCUGUUAGGAAAUUCUGUUAUGACACUGGGGAUACCCAAGUAAUUAUCAAAGGUCAUUUGUCGAUUCCUAGACCAGAAGAGAAGAUUAGGCUCUGAGUCUGAGCAUGUGGGUAUGUGUUCUUGGAGAAGAACAUCUUUCAUUUCUCUAGGUUGAUAGAUAGGCCAAACCUUAGGUAAAAAUUGUCUAGAACACUUUUUGCUGUAUUUAUAGAACGUUCUCCACAACUAAAGAACAAAAUUAGGUCAUCUGCAAUCAUGCAGUCAGUGUGAGAUGACAGGCCCAAUCUUUAAAGGCUCCCAUUUUUCUGGCUCGCUGCUUCGUCAUACAUAUGGAAAUAUACAUAUGGAGAAAUGGACCCCCUUGUCUGAUUACCCUAAAAAGAAUUAUCCAUUUAGAGGGACAGGUUCGACGGGAUUAUUAAGAGGUCAAAAGGGAUUAAACCGUAUUUUUAUAUUUUAAGAGAAGGGGAAGUCAAAAGGGAUUAAAUCGUAUUUUUAUAUUUUAAGAGAAGGGGAUAGGUCCAACGAGAUCACUAACAUGUCAAAGGAAUCUAAAUACUUCUGAACCAAAUAUGUGUGCACUAAAGGACCCGGUGAAUUUGAAAGGUUAAGAAUUUCUAGUGUUUGAUAUUUGACAAAGAAGAUUUGAUCUCCCAACCAACAUCCCAAUAGGAACUUAAAGACCCUCUUGAUGGACACUAGACCAAUGGUUCAAGUUAAGGCCUCUCAUGAAACUCCAUUCAAAUUUGUCAUAAGCAUUUUCCAGGUUUAUUUUUAAAGCACGAUUUCCUAUUUUUCUCUCUCUUUGCUAGGAAUCUUUUUCAACACUUAACGCAGCAGGAAACACAUUAAACAAAAAUGUAGAACUCAUUUUACUCGUGAUCAUGAGAGUUUUUUUCUAUUCAAUUUGUUGGUACCGUUAGAAGAUUAUUGCUAAGUAUCUUGAGACUCAAUGAGAGCAGAGAUAAGCGAGCUUGGACAUCAUUUAUAGGAGAGCUGACAAUUAUACAAGAAUCCUGGUCUCACCAGAUUUUACACAGAUGUUUAGUAGAACAACUCCAAACUGUUAUCGUUUGAAAGAAAAAAAAAAAAAAAAGAACAACUCCAAACUUGAAACUGAAAGCAGGCACUAAUGAGGUUGACCAAACCAGUGUAACUCAAGAGCCUACAUUUAUCUUUCCCUUCUCAUUUAGUUUGUUGAUGUUAAUAAAAUUAAAUUGUUCAUUUUGUGAAGCAUUUAUUUGUGAAUUACUUAAAAGAUUUAAUAAUAUGUUUGCACCAUAACUAACAAAACUAGAGAUGUAAACGAAUCUAAUUAAGCUGAACACCCUAAUAUUCAAUCUUAUUUGAUUAUUUUAUGAGCUUGAAUUUUUGUUCAAAUUUAAUUAAUUUACUUGUCAAACAGAAUUUGAACAAGUUUCUUUAUUGAAUUUGAAUGUUAUCGAAUAAAAGAUGUUAUUCAAAUUUAGUUUGACUAGUCAAUGACUAAUCUCAUACGAAACUCUUAUCAAACCGAACUUGAUUUAAGUCUCGAGUAAUUUGAUUCAUUUUUCAACACUCUAUACAUCAAAUUAUUAUCUUCACAGCAGAGAUGUACUCCUUUGUCUUCUUAAUACAACGAUAAGAUUAUCUUUUCUAUUUUUACUAUUUUUUUUCAUUUCUUAGUUACGACCUUUUUUCCAAUUAGCUUUGCACUUUUCGUCAACAAACUAUUGACUUAAAUUUCUUGCGCUGUUUGAGCAUAAGCUUUUAUCUGUUCCAGAUUUUGUAAGAAUGGUAGAAUUAAUUUUAGAAUAGUUACAUGUAACCAUAAUGAUUAUUAUAAUAAAAAAUGUCAAGAUUAAAAGUCUACAUACACUUUUCGCGUGCGUGUUUACACACACUUGCUAAAACCUACAAUAGUGGGUAUACCUAAUAGUAAUAAAAAGAUAAUCCAUGCAGCAUCUGGUAUACAAAUCUGAGUCGUUACUUUUUUAACUUGUCAAACUCCAUCUACUUUUGAAGUCGAAUUUGAAUUCUGUUUCUAAGCAUUUAAUCAACAAUUUGCUAGAAGGUUAACCGCGUAAACAUGAACGAGGAAGAUGUUGGAAGCCACUCAUACUACAGCAGGAGAAAACUGCAUCAUACAAGAUGUUAAAGCAAUUACCUUUUACGAACUGUAGCAUUUAUCUUCAUGAAGUACAAUUUAAUCCUACUACGAAACACAAAACUGCAAAUUUAUGCAUUUGACAGCUGCAGAUUCAGAGCAGGUUGCUGCGUAAAAGAGGAGGUCCUCUGCCACAAUGGCCGGCCCAGAAUGGCACUUCCAUGGACAGCAAGGUAGGCGGCAUUCAACCUGUUUCAAAAAUUGAACAUUCUCAGCUAAAAGAACCACAGAGCACAUGGACAUCCAAGGAACAAAGACUACUGCAACAUUGUUGCAAGGAAGUUGCAAAAGAGGGAUUUACUUGUCAACGCCACGUGUAGCCAAAGGAUCAUAUAGUUCCUCUCUUUGUUCUAAAGCAGGAGCAGCAGCUGAUAUUGCUGCAGGAUCUUGAGAACCUUCACCCUGUAAAGAAUACAACAUAAACCACUUUUUCAGAAGAAAAAUCAACAAGAUGUGCAACCAAAUAUAUUCUAAAAACAAGAUUAACAAGAAAAAAUUCCCAGAAGGAAUAAUACGUAUCUCAAGAUUAUGGAAAUCCAGAAAUCUUGGUGGUGGUCACAUACUGAAGGUUUUGAGAGAGGCAAAGUGUGAAAAGAUGGCACAUUGGCCAAUGAAGUAAAUCUUUCUAUUAUCCUCGUAAUCGUCGCCUAUGCUCCAGUCACCAACAAAAGUUCAUAGGAAAAGAAGGGAACAAACACAACAGAAGUUGCUCAUGUGCAAUCCGAGUCAGCAUCUUUCAACUCUCCCAAUCAAAGCAGUCCAUCACUGCUUAAGAUGGAAGAACAUUGAUUGAAGCUCUAUUCCAAUCAACGUUACCUCACCAGGUGGAGCAAGGAAGUUAUAACAGCAGAUUUGCGGGUUGAGUUAAAAUUUUUGAUGGAACUCAAUCUAACUAAAUUCAAGGCAAAUCUAUUUUAAGCUUGGCUUCCCCAAGGUAGUUCACGAACUCCCAAGCCCCAACUGCCUAACCUCUGUUGAUCUUAAUCAACAAAACAUCGAUUAUGUUGUGCAGUAAAUAUUUGUUUCUUCAUAUCUAAAACAUUUGAGCUGUUCAUGAACUUUGGUAACAUGCUAGUACACUUACCAACAACACUAUCAAGAUGCAAAUUUUAUCCUAAAUACUACUGAAGCUAAAUUAAUCUUCAAUAUCACACUUGGCAGCCAGUAUGCCAAAACUUAUCCAGACUGUAGAUAGUUUUACCUGGAUAAGUCUCAAUUUGCAACUCCAAGAAGACCGACUCCCAUCUCAAAGUCAAGUUUAUAGAUUUUCAGAUAUGUCAUGCUUGAGAACUUGCCAAGUCAGAUUAAUCCACAUACAUAAAUAGCUUAAUUAGGCUUUGAGUAGAAUGUGAACAUGUGUUUAAACAACUCACUAUCACCCCCUUCAUUAGAUCUUGAUCUUGGAUUGCCAUUUAAUUUUACAGAUAGUGCCUGACUUCAAUCAUGAUAUCUGUAAUACGACCACAUACUUGAUAAUUCUUAAGUCACAUACCCUGAAAAUAUAAUGUAUUUGGCAUCGAAUUCUACACUUUUUAGGUAAUUUCUUAACUUUUCACCAGUCUCUUGUUUUGAAAGAAUUACCUUAACAAGGGAGCAUAAGAAAAUGAAUCUACAAACAAUAGAUUUCUAUGUGAAGGAUAAACGGCUGAAAUCAAGGCACAACCACAACUCUUCAUGAAACAAAGUCAUCCUAAAAAGACUCAACAUAUUUGCAGGCAACUAAACUCGUAUUCUUCUAAGUACUCAAACAGGCAUGUCAGAUUCUAUAACCAAAUCUUCUCGAGUACACAACUUCUGAUCAUGACACAAUGUAGUUCAGUAAGCAUACUUUUGAAAAUAUAAUGUAUUUGGCCACGAAGUCUACACUUCUUAGGCAAUUUCUUAACUUUUAAUCAGUCUCUUGCUUUGAAAGAAUUACCUUAACAGGAAGCAUAAGCAAAUGAAUCUACAGAUAAUAGAUUUCUGUGUGAAGGGAAAAUGCAAAUCAAGGUACAACCACAAUUCUUCUUGAAACAAAGUCAUCCUAGUAAGAUUCAACAUAUUUGCCGGCAACUAAACUCGUAUUUUUCUAAGUACUCAAACAGGCAUGUCUGAUUCUAUAACCAAAUCUUCUCUAGUACACAACUUUUGAUUAUGACACAAUGUAGUUCAGUAAGCAUAGUUUUUGGCCUACAUCACUAGUGCUCUCACUGUCAUUAAUUUCUUUGAUAAAAUUAGACAAAAGGGAUUUCUUAAAGUUUAGUCUUGAUGAUUUCCCUGGCAUUUUUCCACAAGGCGAAGUAAGACGUGCAAAGGCAUUCAUUUUGAGGGAUGCAAUAGAAAUCAUUGGCCCCAUAAGGCACAGCAAGAUCACCCUACAACUGGCCAUUAAGCAUGGUUAAGGUAUUGAAGUUUGACAACACCACUUAAUGCACCAUACAUUCAUUGGUAAGUGCUAUCACUUGUAUCGUUCCUGCAAGACAACUAUAUGCUGUUGUACCCAAUGUUUUUAAACAUGAACCGGCUGAUUGUCCAAUUCUGAUUUUUUCCCAACCGGCCAGUUCACCGAUUCUUUGAUUUUUAAAUUAUUUUACAAUAAUUAAUAUUUAAUAACCAGCAUAAAAAGAUGUUAAGACAGAAUGUUUAAGAAGAGCUUAUCUAGAAAUUUUUCAAAUAGCUUGCUCAAACUAAAUUUUUCACAAGAAUAUGCCUUAAAAUCCUGCAGCAGAGGGGUUAGAAAACAAGAACAUGCCCAUCCACCAAAGAAAAGAAAAAUGUUCAUCAGAAUUUCUUUAAAAUUAUGGCAAAAAAAAAUUCCAGUUUAUGGCAAAAAAGAAAUUCCAGUUUCUCAUAUUAACAACAAAAGAUAUGCUGCUUUUCCCAAGUCUAAGUACAAAUCAAAAUAAACUUUAUACAACCAAAUCAAAAAAUGGGGAAAAAAAGUGAAGAAAAAUCAAGCAUCUAAAAACAUGCCAAUCAUCAUCACCAUCUCAUCUUCUAUUGUCCAGCAUCAUCUUCAUCACCACUAGUAUGUCUUCUAUGCUUAAAAAUUAUGGAUAUAAUCUUCAUCAAGUUUAUCAUAGUUUUCACCAUUUAAAAACAAAAAUAAAAAAAUAGAUGAGAGAUUAAGAAGGGCUGCAAACAAGGGAUGUUGUAGCAGUGGGAUGAGUGUGAUGAGAGGGUGGAGAAGAAGGAUCUAGUCAAAAAGAGGAAACUGACGGCCAAAAGAAAAUAAGGGGAAGCUGAUGUUUUGGAGUUGAUGUGGAUGAUUAAUUAGCCCAUUAAGUUUGUUUUAGCCCUUUGUGAGCAAAUCAAUAUAGUCAAGUUGCUACCUAAAAUUUUGGGCUUUAUCAGCCCAAAAUUCAAAAAAAAAUUGAGAAGCCCAUAAAGAAAACCCAGUGGCCCCAUGUUGCAUCUCAAAACCCAGACUUAACCAGUUGAUUCUGGUUCACCGGUUUGUACCAGUUUUAUCUGGGUUUUUGCACCAGUUUGUACCAGUAUUGUCUGGUUGCUGUUUCCUCUUUUUUUACAGAACUGGACCAGUAUCAAGGCCUGUUCAACCUUGGCCAGCCCGGUUUUGAAAACACUGGUUGUACCAGUUUGAUUUUUUCUGUAAGUCAACACUAUCAAGACUAAGUGCAAGCAAAGAUUAAAGAUGCUGUAAAACCUCAGAAAGCUUUGAACCAUGAAAGAGAUAUCAAUCAUGAAUUUUCUAACAAAAUAUUCCAGAAAGUAUGUCUUCCAUUUUUCUUUUGCAUUUCUCGCUCUUUUGUCCCCUCUAUUAUGAUACACAGAGCCGUAUACCCACAACAGAAGUCCAGCACAGGAAAUGGGAAUAGUUUACUUAAAACUUUAGGUUCUAGCUUAAAGUGAUUUGGAUUCCACUAUCAAGGGGCAUCAUCCUUGACUUAUAACAGCAGUAAAUCAUGUACUUGGAGAAGAUACUAGAAGAAUAUAUAACAUCAUCUGAUAUUGGAGCAAGAAUUUAAUUUUUACAUGUUGAAGCCCAGUAAUACACUAACAGUUCUACUACAUUUACUUUUAACUUCUUCUUGGAUAUAUAGAAGCUAGCAAUCUGCAAAAUCCUAAAACACCCAAAACUAUGGGCUUGUUCUUGUCUUUUGUAGAUUUUGCAAAAGCAUAUUAUGGAAAGUGAUUCUAGAAAUCAUCAGAAUCAGCUAAAGCUACUCUUUGGUAGAUUAUGGAUUUUAGUUUUUUUGUAAUUAAAAAAUCUAAAAUCUAGAUGCAAAGGCGAACAACAAAAUUAUUAAAAAACAAAAAGACUAUUCAAAACCAGAAUCUAUAACCAGGUGAAAUAAUCAAAUGAGAAAAAGCCCUAUGUCAUUUCAAGAUGCAACUUUCCUUCUUCAUUUCUAUUUGUUUGUGAUACUAAUUUUCAUCCUUCUACAGCAGAUCAUACGCACUUGGAGGGAAAUUAUGCAGAGAGCAGUUAUGUUACUUUUAAGUUUAAAAAGUCCCAACUUGAACUGAAGUUAGUAAUCCUUACCUACUCCUGUAGAAAGGAACAACAUUCUAUGAUUGUCAGCAUGAUACCAGAAUCCAUAAAAAUGUUUGAACUAGGAAUUUCCUCAAAGAGUAAUACUUGUCUAAAGUAGUAUAGCAAAGCAGAAAGCAAGGAAUACAACUAAUCAAAAUACUCAUAAAUCGAACAAAUAUAUUUGCUUACCUGUUGAGUAUAUUGUAAAUAACCAGCAUAUGCACCAUAUCCAUACAAUGAGGGAUCUUGUGUGGCUCCAUAUGAAUAUGCAUCAUAGCCUUGUCCAUAACCAUAAUAAGCACUCCAUUGAUUAGGAUCUGUAGGCUGGGUCCAAGUACCAGGUAGAUCCUGUCAGUGGUAUCAAAUACUCAACAUCAUUUAACAAAGUCCAUAACAACACUAAGCUCUUUGUCUCAGUAGAUAGAUAGUACUCAUCACUUGACUCCCCAUUACCUCUGCUUUCUUAAAGGAUCAAUAAGUGUCCUAGUUCUCUGCCUUAUUAAUUGCUUAAAAUAACAUCCAAGUGGAAAAAAGUAUCCUAUCCAAUCCAUAAAAAAUACAUUCCAAUCCAGGCCAGUGUGAUAAAAAAGAAAGUUAAUGACAGACACCUGCUUUGCCGUUGGACUCCUUCCCCAAGAAAGACGGACUACUUGUUGCCCAAUCACAGCGCCCUGCAUCCUUUGAAUUGCUUCUUCUGCAGAUGUCCUGCAAAGAUGAAUAUCAAAAGACAGAAAUUUGUCCAGAAAGAAAAUGACUAAAUGCGUACAAAGGAGAAAAUAGGAAAUCAUGACAAUGAAGGACAGCAUUCGAUGUAUGCCAAAACAACUAUAGUAGUUAUAAACAGCUUUUAAAUGCAUGAGAUGAGAUGGCUAAAGAAAUCCAACAACCAAACUCAAAGCUUAAUUAGUCAUUCUACACCACCAGAAAAAUUCAUUCUUAUCUUUUUAACUUCUCUUGUUGGGAGUAGAGAGAAUUUUCUUUUGUGUUUUAUUCUCUUCAACAAAAUAUAAGUAAUAGUUUGCAACAUGCCUAUGAUAGGCAGUGAUCAUGCCUUUAAAAUAACUGAAUUAAAAGAUUCACACAUAUUAUUAACAAUAUAUCGCAAUCCAAUCCAGUCUUGAAAUGAGCCCUAAACCAAGUAUUGGGGUCCUUUUCAUCAACCAUUAUAUGCAUCUUUGAUUCUUGCUUCAUCAUCUCUAUUUCUGCUUUGAACUGAGUCAUAUAUGAAGCCCUUGCACAUCUUCAAAGCCUAUCUUAAGAGUAAGACCUCUAUGCAUUUGCUUGAAGUUAGUAUAAAAGUGUUGGACACAACACCUAUGCUCAGCUUCUGGAAGUUUGUCCCUAACAGCCUAAACUAUACCCUUUGCAACACACACAACAAUCACAUAUGCCACACUAAUAUCAAUAGUUUAACAUAAAUAUUAAUUGGAUAACAAAUUAAUAAAUACUACCUUCUGUUUGUCAGUCAUAUGCACCAUGUACUAAGAUCUGAAAUUUGUAAAUCUUGUACAAGCAAUCCUAAAGACCAACUCCAGUUAUCAUAAUUCUCUACCCCAACAACUGACAAAGCCAACGGAAACAUUUUGUUAUCACAUCCAUUCUAACUGCUAAUAAAAGCUGCCCAUCAUAUGGACCUUUUAGGAAGCAACUAUCUAACCCAAUCUCUAUAUCAGCCAGCUAAAAACUCUCUUUAUUGGUUCUAAGCGCAUAUACAGCCUUCUAAACCUAGAAACACCAUUUCAUCUAUAUCAGUCUUAACAAACACAGUAAAUCCCGGAUUUGCCCUCUCAAUUCACCACAAAUGUUUCCAACAUGGUGCUAGUUUGUCAUGGAACCCCUGAAUAGUGUCUCUCACUUUUCUAAGUGUUCUAUACCUUACUUAAGGCUAAAAUCAAUAUUUAACUCCUCAAUUACUUUGGUCAUCAACUCAUGCACUGUCAUAGAUGACACUUUCCUUACCUCAUCAACAAAUAGUUUGCUAGCCAACCUAGAUGUCAUUUUUUAUUGUGGAACACUCUUCCACAAGUGUGCUCAUCACUAAGUGUUUUUAUUUGAAAGGUGUUUUCAUCUUGCAUUUUAGACCCAAAUAGCUGCUAGUCACAAUUUCUGCAUUUCAGUCUCACCCUACGUGUGUCAUUUUUCUUGAAACACACAUCUCUCCCAUCCAUUAUUGCUUGGAUCUUACAGCCAACCUGAAUGUAAUGACUGAUGUGAACUUCUGACCAACUUCAAACUUUGGUUUCUUCAUGUCUGUUAACUGGAAAUUUAGGCCUCCUUGUUUUACUAUUCCCAUCUUCAUCAGAUUCACUUUGACUCCUCAAUUCAAAUGAAUCAUCCAAGUCAUAUUCUGAUUCAAUGUCAUCAAUAUUAAUCAUAUCAGGGUCAUCACAACAGUUAAUUUUAAUGGGUGGGUCUCUCUUCCUUCUUGGCUUUUUCUUUCUUUGCUCACUACAAUGAGAAGGACCAGGUUUAUUGCAAUGCGAAGGGCCAGCUUCAUGUGCACCUAGGUCUACUCCAAUAGUUUGACCAAUUUUGAUGGCUUCAUCUAAUACGUCAUUGUCUCCCCCUGGAUCCUCAUAGUCUGAAUCUGCCAUCUUCUUAUCAACAUUGACUCCAUUUUCUUCCUCUUCUUGUCUGGCAAUAUCACAUGAUAUUUCCCCUACACCACCUUCAUUGCUGGCUGCCUUUUGUGCAUUUUCAUUGCAAUUUUUACAUUCAUUUUCUUCUCUGACUUGUGCAUUUAAAGCUUCAUCAUAACCUUCAACAUCUUUUGUUCCUUUGCAGCAUCACUCCUAUUAUCAGCUUUCUCUUCUACCAAAUGUCGUGCCCCAUUUUUUUGAGAUAAGAAUAAAAGAUGAGUUUAAAAAAAAUGGCUUUUGAUUCAAUUUUUGAUUGGAAAAUGACUUUUUGAUUUAAAAAGAAAAUGAAAAAUAUGAGUCUAAAUGGGACUUGAAAAUGUGACGAUUUGACCCAAAAUAUAGUUUAAAAAGGGUUAUUUGAAUUAAAAAUCGGAAUCGCCACUUGGUAUAGAGUUAAGGUGUACCAAGUCACCUAAAAGUGAAUUUUUAAAGAAAAGUAGAAAACUCUUUUCAAACGAACCCCAAGUCUACGAAAAUCAGAGAAAAAGAUUCGGGAGUCACAUUUGAAGAAAGAGAAGGCAAGGAUAAGAAUCCAAGGCACCAUUUCAACCUAGCCAAGGCUAGUUGCGUGAUUUAGUCAAAGAUUUUCUUAUAUUACCCUUAAGAUUUAUCACAUUUGGAUGUACUAUAUGAAUGCAUACCCUAGACCUAAGAGGGUGUCAGGGGGGUUUCGAAAUGUAUCUUCAAAGCUUACUUCGGUACCAAUCACAUUAAUUGUGACGCCCAAUAAAGACUUUUCGAAAAAAUCACGAAUAAUGCAAGUCAUGAGACUCGAAAGAAAGGAAAAGUAAAGAAAAUAAUAAUAUACAAAUGUGUAUGACCUAAAGGAAUGCAUCAUAAUGGGUGCGGGGACUAAUGUUCGUGACUCAAUUUUCCCUUUAAUAGAGGGAAUACGAGUGUGCUAAGGCUAGAAAGCCAAACUCGUCAAUAUCCCAUACUCAAGGGGUUUUUUCUAGUCUAACCAAGCAAAUGUACUAACCUAGGUUUAAUACUUAGAUGAAACGCAAGUCUAAUGUCAUGUUUCAUACAAAGGGGUAAGUAAUAUACAUAUGAGGGAAAAUAUGGGGGAAGGGAUAUACGUAGAAGGAGGGAUGUCAUGCAAAAAAAAUGAUAAAAGACCCUAAAAAGUGAAAACAUGCAUGAGAUGGAGUGAUUUUAUCACACAAUCAUGAUCUAACGCUCGAGGGCUCCUAAGGGUCUAGCAUUGGACUAGCCCUUUUACUAAUACUCUCUCACAAGCAUUGGACUUGUGAGGGCUCGAGGGGAAAACCAUGACUAGCAUUGGACUAGCCACGGUAACGUGCAUUCAUCCACACAAUCAGAUACAAUAUUAAAACAAAUAGACAUGCAAAACACAUAGUUUCACAUAGCACGUAACACAUAAGCAUGCUUGUCUAGAUGCAGAAUCCUAGGAAACGAUUAAACACAUAGGCAUAUAGGCACACACAAGCACAUAGCACACAAGCCCUAUCUAUUACAAAAGGGGAUGCCUACUACAGUCUAAAGGGGAGAUAAAAUAAAUAAAUAAUUAAAAUAAAUAAAUCUUUAACUAUUACAAAUUUGGCAUCCAAGUGCCUUUCAAAUGAGCAAAAUUGAACUACAAUAAAUAUUCAAAACUAAAGCCAAUAAGUAAGUAAAUGAUAAAGAUAAAACACUUUCAACAGGCAUGCAAUUAAACACAUAAAGUCAUAUAGGGCAUGUAGGAUCCAAUAAAGUGAGAAAUAAGGGAUAAAACGUACCUCCCUUGAGGUGGGGCCCUAAUUGAAUGAAAUCACUUAUUUACCCUCCAAAAUAAAAGAAAAGGUCAAGGCAUCUCAAAUAAUCACGUUUAUACGAAAUUGAAUCAUUAAAUGCAUUCAAAUGCCUAAACAGUCCAUAUUCACAAGAUUAGGAUCCAAUUGAAAGGAAAAAGAAAGUUCAAGGGGGGCAAUUUGAUUGAUUUUUUAAUUAUUUGGGCCAUAGUAUAACAAAAAGGAACUUGGGGGGUUAAAGUGUAAUUUUUAGAAUUACUUUCCAUGCAUGCUACGAAGAAACAAAUUCUCAUCUCUGGUUUCCCUUUCUCUGCAGCUUACUGUGUUUCAUUACCAACCCAAACAUUACCAACAAACAUCGACUUUUGAAUCAAACGAUCACAAGACACUCCCCCAAUCAUCAACCAAGCCAAAUAUUACAUUUGUGUUGCAAGACCGAAUGAGAAAAAUCUGGUUUAGUGAUUGCUAGAAAAACAAAGUGCAGCAGUAGUUUUCGUAACAGCAAAACAAGAAAAUGCAGCAACAAUCUUUAACUCUUGUUUGAAAUGCCAAAAACAAAACGUUCAAGAAAUCAUGCUUAAGCUCAGACCCUGAAACAAACAAGAUGCCAAACAUGCUAUGAAUCAAACACUCAUCAGAGAAAACGCAUGCCAAGCUGAAGUUUUCCUUCCCACAACACUUUGUCUUCGACUUCAGCAUAUAGGAAACAACCAUGAAUAGCUUGCUGAAGCCUCCAACUUCAACUCUUAAAGACAUCAAAUUCCAAAUCAGAAAAUGAAAACCAAAUGCGUGGUUAAUAUUCGGGUCCCUCCCAAUUCAAAAUGUAUUCGCAAGGAAAUAAACUUCUGCACUGAUUUGCUUUUUUUUUUAACUUUGCAGGUGACCUGAUAGCAUGUGAUAAUCUUAACCAGAAAAAACAAUCUCAAAUAUUUAACAAGCUUCCUAAACUCAUCACUGAAAUAUAACAUUGAAUGCACAAACGAAGGAAAAAAAUCUGAGCAAAGGAGGAAUUCAUCAGACCCCAGAUUCAUUCAUUAGUUUCAAAACUAAUGACUUUCCAAACACAGCUUUAACACCAGAUGUUGUUCAUGGCAUUUCACUCAAGCAUAGACAACAAAAAACAAGCAAGUCAAACGAAGUCAUAGCUUCAGCAAAACGAAUACGUGAAAAUGACAGCCACUACAACCCAAAGUAAAACACAUGAAUUGGUCAAACGUUGCUGCAACAGAUUUGAGCAAGCCGAGAGUUGCAAACCUGUUGCAUUAGAAGCUCAAUCUAUUUCUAAGAAUCCAGAGCUACCCAACUACGAUAAAGGAUCUCACGAACAGGGGCAUAAGGCCAUAUUCAUCAGAAAUCAGCAAUAACAUCAUGUUCAUCAGAAAUCAGCAACAACAAAUCACAACCAAGAAUAAACGAACUAGAAAGCUGCAGAUCCUUACACAAAUAUCACCAGAUCUUCACAAAAUGGUAUGAAAAUGACAGGAAGAAAGGCUGGAGUUACCUACAAAUGUCGGUGAAAUAAAGCAAACGUGAAAUAUGUCCGAAAAAUGCAUGCAAAUUCCAGAAAUGAGAUUGAGAAUGCCGGCGCCGCAGAACUUCAGCGCUGAUGAAGUCGUCACCUUGGCUCCUGAUUUGGCUAUCUUCCUAUGGUUUUCCCUUCAAAAUUUCUGAAUGAAAAACACUCCCAUCACAUUGUAGAUGUUCCAGAUUACCCUAAAUCUCCAAUAAGGAGCCAAAUCCAUAGAAAAAAUUGCCUCCAAAGACAACAGAAAAUCAGCCUGGAUAGCAGAUUUUCUGGAAAAUUUUCUCUUCCCGCCGCCGCUCUUUCCCCUCGUUUUUCUCAGUUUUCUCCUCUAACUCUUCCCAGAUCUAACUCUCUCCCUCUCUUAUUUUGGUUUUCUUCCCUAUCCCAGAAAGCUCUCUAGUUUCCCCGGCUCCUUUCUUCUUCGUGUUCCCUUUUCGCAAACCUCAGCCGAAGCCUCCCUCUUUACUUCGGUCCUCCUGUUUUUCCCUCAACCAAAGACGAAAGCCCUCUGUUCUUUUCCUUCCCUUUUUCGUUUCCUAUGUAGCUCCUCCGAAAGCUUCUCCCUCAGUUUUUUCUUUUCCUUCUGCUUUUUCUUCCUCCUUCAGUCCAACGCUUUUUCUUUGUUUUCGUUCCUUUUCCCCGCAGCUUCUCUCUUUUCACCGUUUUCCCUCCUUCCGGGUCUCUAACUCAGCCGCCCUACUGUUUUUCUUUCUGUCAACCUCAGCCCUCCUCCUUUCUAGUUUCUCUCAGCCGUCCUUAGAUGCUCCCUUAGUUCUCUGCUGUUAUCUUUCUUUUCCCGUCGUUCUCCUUUUUGCCCCCCUUUUUCUCAGCCGCCCCUUCUUCCUUUUAUAACAAACAAAACACUAAACCCUCCUCUAAAGGGUUCUGAUGGAAGCCAAGUCAUUAGCCUUGUAGAUCAUCCGAUGGUGAACAAAAACAAGGAGUUGUUGUGCCUGCUUGAAAUGUUAUAUGAAGAAAUAGGCGCGGAUCCUGUGUAGCUCGGGUGCAUGAGCCUGUUUCCUUUUUUUUUCGGCAUUUUCAUUUUUUCAUUUUUCUCUUUUUCUUUUGUUUUUCUGAAAUUUAAUAUGAAGACAAAAUAAACCAGAACAAAAUAAAAUAAAAUAAAAAUUAAAACCCUAGAAUUGAAACAAAUAAACCCAUUAAAUUAAUUAAACAAAUAAAAUUAAAAGAUCAAAAAUUUGGUGUCUACACCAAAAUUUCAGUUUCAGUCGCUUUGCUAUUCACGUCUUCAUAUUCUGGUUCAUCUUCAGCAGCAACACUAUAAAAAUCCUCACUUUUUUGUUCAACAUCAGCACAUUUUCCUUGCUUGCCUGCAGUUUUUGGUGCUAUUUCUGGCCCAUUACUACUGUCUAAAUCUUUAGAAAACAGAUUCGGUACUCUCGGUGUCCAGUUGCUACUGCACCCUUUUGUAGUGUCUAAAUUUACUGGAUGAAUGUCAAUAUUUUCUCUACCAUCUUUUUCCACUUCAUCAGGGUCUAUACCUUUUCUAUGAUUAUAACAUCACUGUCUCUAUCCCUUUCGGCUUCAUCUCCCUUAGCUUGACUUAAGGGUGCUACAGCCUGUGGAUAACCUUGUGAGAAAACUCUAAGAAACACUUCUGCCACCCUAUGUGGUGGUAAUAUGUUCACCAUCAUCUCACAAUCCCUAUCACACAUACAAAAGACCAAGCCUGUAUCCAAUGUCAUCCCUGGUAGCAGAUAAUACCACCCAAAACCAUCUUCUACAUCAUACCCAAGUCUCUCUUCACAUUUGUCUAGAGCUACUAAUGACCACAUUUUUGGGUUGCAUCUACCUAUAAAAUCAACCAUUCCCCCUAUAUACUGCUUGUUAGGAGAGUCUGUGAAGGUCCCUUGAUGGUGUAUCUUUAAGGAGAAAGGUUCAGGCCAAAUUCCACUAUCACCAUUUCCUGGUUCAAAGAAAAAUUUUUUUAAUUCAAUAAUUAAUUUUUUGACACCUUUUACAGUGAAUCGGGACCACAAUGUCUUUAAUACAAGGAACAUUAGGGUUUGGACAAGAUAAACAUUGACUUAAAAAAGACCCCAAAUCAUUUUCAAGCCCAUACAUUCGACAUUAAACAAUUUUGUCUACCAUAAUUUAUCACUAACAUAUAACAUAUAGAGGUCAAUCUGGCCCUUUUUACAUUCCACAAUAUCACUACUAAACCUAACCGACAACAAUCAAAUAACCCAACUACUAUAUACGCUAUUAUCCAACAAGCAAACAAUGACCGUAAUAUCAUUUCUCUUACUGGGGCGGCCUUUCUCUUCUUGUUCUUCAAUGGCAACCUCAUUUCUCCAUCAAACCCUCUUCAAUGGCGAUCUUGAAUUUUCCAUGUUUACAAUAAAUUUCAUCUCUGACUCACGGUCACUAUCAUUUCAAGGGUAUAGACUAGUAGAAAUUUGAUAAUGUAUUGUUCACACCUUUUUCUCUCUCUCUCUCUGUGUUCAAAUCCAAGGUGAAGACGGCAGAAACAAAAACAAAGCUGUUUCGACUUAUUUUUCUUUUGCCCUUAUACCUAACGGGUGGCUAUUUUAGUUUUCAUGACUUAUCUAAUCUCACUAACGGCGCUUGUUUUGCACGCUCGAAGAACCCUGAUGAUUCUGUGGAGUCCGUCAACGAUUUUACUUAAUUGGGACGGAUUCAGUAGUUUGGGGACUUAAGUGUCUCAUUUACAAGUUUAGGGAUUAAAGUGAAAAUAGAGUAUAGUUUAGGGGGUCAAAAGGAAAUUUACCCGGUUUAAUUUGGUAUCAAAGACAGAGAAAGAGGAUCCAAGGCAUUUUAAAAAACGCGGGAAAGCCAAGCCAAGCUGCAAAUUCCCGCCAUUUCAUGUUACUAUUUCCGCCCCCAACUAAGCAAAACACCAAAAACAAAUACAAAGUCCACGCCUGCUACCGCCGCCGCCGCAGCAGCCACCGGUUUCCUCCUGAAAUAGAGCUCCCAUGGCUGAAACUCCAAAGAAAAGAUCCAAACAAACCCCUGAGCACCAACAGCAUGAUCUAUCUUCCUCAAAUGCCAUUACAAUCCUGCAACCCCAGUAGCCCUAGACCCCACCCCUGUCCGCCGAUCUUCCCGCCUUUACACCAACCCAACAGCGGCCACUGCUCCACCUCCUCCACCACCACGUUUCACCCGCCGUAAAUCCCUCAAUUUCACAACCACCACCCCACCCCCACCCCACCCCAAAACCCCCAAGAAACCAGCUCCCCAAAGUCAGGAAGAUGCUGCUAAGCAGAUUUCGCCUAUAUCCCCCGAUCGAUAUGAAACUAGGAGAAAAAGAAAAUUAGAUGAAGAAAAGAAUGCGGGUCUUGCGAAAAAUAAGGAUUUGAAAGGGGGAAGAAAAGGGUUUAUUAUAGAAAAGUGGUUUAUGAUGGGGGUGAGUUUUCUAUAGGGAUGAUGUCUAUGUGAAGAGGAGAGACAAUGCUGAAUCGGAUAAUGAGGAUCCUGAAGUGGAGGAGUGUGUGAUGUGCUUUAAGGCUGGGAGGGCGGUGAUGAUUGAGUGUGAUGAAUGCUUGGGGGGAUUUCAUCUCAAAUGUUUGAAACCACCUUUAAAGGAGGUUCCAGAGGGGGAUUGGAUUUGCAGGUUCUGCGAGGCAACAAAGUUGGGGAAAAAUGUUGAAUUGCCUGUGCCACCUGCAGGGAAGAAGAGGGCUAGGACUGCUAAGGAGAAGUUGCUUUCGAGUGAUUUGUGGGCAGCCCAUAUUGAAAGGUUUGGAAAACACUUUUCCAACCAAUGUUAUGUUUUGAUGAUUAUGCCUCAACUGGUUAAUGAUUCCUGAUUACGUUUACACUGGUGAUUUUUGAAUAUCGCAUAGUAUGUGGAAGGAAGUGGAUGGUACUUAUUGGUUUCGGUCUCGAUGGUAUAUUAUUCCUGAGGAGACUGCUGCUGGGAGACAGCCACACAAUUUAAGGAGGGAGCUUUACAGGACUAACGAAUUUGCUGAUGUUGAGGUAGUAACUGCAAUCCCCUAAUUCACCGUAUAGGUUCACUUUUUCCAGAUGCAAUUGCUUAUGCUUUCAUGAUAGCGGACUGCAUAUUUAUAGAUGUUGGAGAAGAACAGGUUUAUGCCAUGAUUUUUGCAUAAUGUUUUGCAUAGUCCCAAAGUGUUGCUCAGUAUUGUAUGCUGUGUUUCUUUUUUGUAAUGCUUGGAUAACUGUAUAUUGCAUUGUUAAUUACCAUUGUGUACUGAGACUGUUUCUUUUAUGCACAUAGAACCUGGUAAAGAGCAGUUUGUGGGCAUUUCAUGGAAUGUAACAAUUGUUUUAUGAGAUUAAACAAAGGCUGUUGAGAGUCUGGAUUUCUCUAACUAUGAAGGCAUCAUGUUUCUAAGGGGUUCUUUUAGGACACAUGGAAUUUUCUGUGUUGACAUUGACUCUGUAGUACUUGUUUCUCUAGAUGGAAUCUAUCAUUAGGCAUUGUUAUGUUAUGAACCCUAAAGAUUUUAGCAAGGCUGCUGAUGAAGGAGACGACAUUUUCCUGUGUGAAUAUGAGUAUGAUGUAUGUUGGCACAGUUUCAAACGCAUUGCAGAAAUCUCAAAUAAUGAAGAGGUAAGUGUUCCUAAACUCUGAACAACAUAAUUGGGGAUGGUAAUGCUUUUGCAUUGGACUUGAUUGAGACUGAUAUAUGCUUUUAUGAUUAAUAGGAUGCUGAAGAGGAUGAAAGUGAUAAGGACUGGAAUUCUUGCGAAAUUACGGGCUCUGAUUCUGAAGAUGACACAGACUAUAAAAAAGAGAAGAUUAAUGGCUCCCAGCGUGGACCCUCAUUUGGUCUCAUUUGGUCAUUCAUUGGCUGCUGUAUGAUCUUUCUUUUUUUUUUUUUUUAUAAAUCUCCUAAGUACUUAUUGGUAAUGGCAUCUAGUUGAAGCUGAUAGGCUGUUUUAAACUCUCUCAGAACUUGCGGAAGGGGCAAUUUUUUGGACUUCAAAAGAUUGGGGCAAAGAAAAUACCAGAACACACAAGAUGCCACAAACAAACAGAAAUUGGAAAAGCAAAAGCUAUGCUUCUACUGGCAUGCUUACCUAAGUCUCCACCUUGUAGGAAUAAGUGAGGAUGAUGCAGUAUAUUGUUUAUUUCUUGUGAUUCUUUGGUUAUCAAAAGAUGACAGGUCAUUCGAUGUAGAGAAAUGGAAGAAAUAACUGCAUUUAUCAAAGGAGCUGUAUCUGAUGGUCAAUGCCUCGGAAAAUGUCUUUAUAUUCAUGGAGUUCCUGGAACUGGGAAGGUAAGAUCUAGUAGCUAUUAUUGCAACAACAGUCAUAUUGUUUCUAGACAACACAUUAAAGUUAGCCACAUAAUGGUAUAAACUUAUUCUUGUUGUUGCCAACCAACAGACAAUGACUGUCCUUGCAGUAAUGAGGACCCUAAAAAUCGAAGUUGAUUCUGGGAAUAUCAAGCCUUAUUGCUUCGUUGAGAUCAAUGGUCUAAAGCUAGCCUCACCUGAAAAUAUCUACAGAGUAAGGUUUUUGGCGUUUAAUUUAUUUAGGACAUUCAUCUAUUGCCUGAUGACAUUCUCUUCUUUAAUUAUCUUCAGGUAAUCUAUGAAGCUUUAACUGGACACAGAGUUAGUUGGAAAAAGGCUCUACACUUAUUGAAUGAGCGAUUCUCAAAUGGGACGAAUUGGGAAGAAGAAAAUAACAAGCCUUGCAUCCUACUCAUAGAUGAACUUGAUCUUUUAGUAACCAGAAAUCAAUCGGUAAUUGGCAGGAGAUUUAAGAUUAGCUACGUUAACAUCUGCUUUCUACAAAAUUUAGAAAAUUUUUUCACCCAUAACCACCUUGUUUUUCCUGUCUUGGCUUGUAAAUCACAGGUUUUGUACAACAUUCUUGAUUGGCCUACCAAGCCACAUUCCAAACUAAUUGUGAUAGGUAAACACCCACAUUCUUGAUUGGUUCAACAUGGCAGGCACAAUUUGAUGAUAACAAAAGAAUGGGACUUUAUUUCUGCAUUUUGAAUAUCAUUCCAGGUAUAGCAAAUACCAUGGAUCUUCCUGAAAAGUUGCUUCCACGCAUCUCGAGUCGGAUGGGCAUACAGAGGCUUUGCUUUGGGCCCUAUAACUACCAGCAGCUUCAAGAAAUCAUAUCUAGUCGCCUCAAAGGAAUUGAUGCUUUUGAAAAACCAGCAAUUGAAUUUGCUUCUAGAAAGGUUUUUUUUUUUCUCUUUUUAUAAAUGAAUUAUGUUUAUGUGUACCUCAUAAAGAGUUCACCUGCUUUGAAGCUUUCAUUACUAUUGGUGUUUAUGUUUCUAAAUUUAGGUUGCUGCUGUCUCUGGUGAUGCUCGCCGUGCACUGGAGAUAUGUAGGCGAGCGGCAGAACUUGCAGAUUAUCGCUUAAGAAAAUCACAAUCACUUAAUGAUUCUGCUGGUACAAGUGAGACCUCUUAGAUGUUGCUUUCAUCAAUCUGAAGAUAUUUUAAUUAGAAUGCAUGUCAAUCCAGCAUCGGAUGAAGAAUUGUACCAAUAGAGAAAAAGGAAUACCAACUUAUUGGCUCUUGUGCUUCUCAUUUUCAGUUAAGAAGAAUCUGCAUAAGAAAUACCCUUGAACUAUUUCAUGUAAUUUGGCAAUAAAUCUUUUCCAUUUUUGUUUUCAUCAAAUGAAUCGACAAUUUCUAAGCACUUUACAAUAUCCAGAUAGACUGCUAUGAAUUGCAUGGGCAUGUGCUAUCCCGGUUCAGAAUGAUCCGUGAAAGGACAUAUAGUCCAUAUAACCUGUAAUCAGAUCUGAAAAUAAAGCAUUUCAUGGUAGAUUGUGUUGCAAAAAUUUUAUGGCAUGAAAUUCAGUAAUAUUGCUUAUUCUUUCUCUAAUCCAAAAUUGAUGAAGCCAAAGUUUUAGUGUCCUUGAAGUUUCUGCAAGAUAUCAUGGUUAUGCAAGUAUUGCCAUUUUUCAUCUUUCAGCAUUUACUUAUAUCAUCGAGUAUGAGAGGCAAGAUAAGAGCAGGCUGGCCUUCUAUUCAACUUUUGGUAAAUAAAAGAAUUUAAGACAACAAUUUGUGAAAUGAUGGACUUGGUAUUGGCCCACAUAAAGUACUUUCUGACUCCUAUUUUUUAUUUUUACAAUGUUAAUAUUGUAAAGAUUUCUAGAAAUGCUGGCUAAUUCCUUAGAAUGUAGAUGUGUAAAGUUUUAGUUUGGUUACAGAAACUUAUUAGGCUAAAAUGCAGGGAAAAGAGAGUCAACGAUGAAAAAUUUGCUUCAGGAUUUGUGGAGACAUAUAGGAAAAGAAUUUAGACAUUGAUGAAACUUCUGCCUGUUCUACCUCUAUCUAUGUGGCUAGAUAAGUGAAGUGAUGUUUAUAGUACUUGUCGAAAGACCUGGGGACAUUGACAGCACAGUAACAUGGCUGGUAUUAUGUGUAUUUUGUGACACCUUUUCAUCAGAGGCAGGCAAUUUAUUUGAAGAUUAAUAGUGAUAAGUUGCACACUUAGAAUUGGUGAUGUGAUAAUAUUUAGGACAAAAAGACAUCAAUAAUCUCGUUUUCUGCAACAGAUGGCUUUAAGAUUCAGGUCUGCACCUCUCUUUAGAUAUACCAAAUUGGAUGUCCAAUAGCUUCUUAUGGCAUCUAAGCCUCACAUGAUUUGGUGAACGAUUUGCUACCUGAUGCUGUAGUCAGAAGUACAGUUUUACACUAAAAUCAGUUUCUGUUCUUUUUGAAAGAGAAAAAGUACAGUUUAAUCCACAAUGUGAAAGUAGUAAAAGUACCUGUAGUUACUGCAGUUUUAUUAAUGAUUUUGCAGUUUUAAGUUCUCAAGUUUAAGAUAUUUAAAUCCUGCUUAUUUGUUCCACGCCAGAAAAAUGUGGAUUCACAGUUUCUUUGUGAACUUAUCAGGUUUCAAUGAAUCAAAACAGGCACUAAUAUAGGCUUAAGGCAGUCAAUUCAAAAGUUAAACAUAUUUCAUACUAUAAAAUUUGUUUCAAAGUAACUAACCAUUUAGUGACCUUGUUCUCAUGAUCUUGUCGUCUGAGAUUUUCUUUCAAGUCAUCCCAAGUAAACCAAUUUGUGGGGUUUUUGGUAUUACUGCUCAUGCAAACCCUAAUAAGGCUUCUAAGCAUCACAAUGAAGGUUGAUUCAUUUACCAUUAGCUGUCAAUUCUUUUGACGAACUUAAAUUUUGUGUAAAUUGAAGAAAGGUAAUUUGCAUCCCUUAAACAUUUAAAAAAAAAUCAAAGCCAUAUCAUCGGGAUAUUUGAAAUGAAGCAAGCGAUGUAUGAAAAGUUAACAAAAAAGUCUUUGUAUGGAGCUGUAAUGACACCAUAUGCUGGUAUUACAGUUUUCCUUUUGAUCUAUCUCUACACCUUCUCGCAACUAGCUAAUGAACUGUUAACAUCGACCACCAGCUUUGUGAAGAUAGAUUCUGUCAGCUAGCAGGUGCCAAAGGAUUAAGUUAACUACCUUACCUUACAGCUUUAUAGCUGUAAGCUUCAGUGAGGACAUUGAAGAACUAAUUAUUGUGAUCUACACUGUCUUUUCUGUUGCACAACAUCUACUGUCCCUUCUUGAUGAUUGAUAUAAUAUACAUACAUAUGUAUAUAUGGUCUUCAUUUAUAGCACCUAAUGAUGAAAAAACUUGGCUUUGCUGAAAUAAGCAGGCAAUUUUACCCCCGUUCCUUUAGAAAUUUUGGGGUUCAGGAAGUACAUUGUGCAUUGUCCCCUGUUCUGCCUGGUAUGCUAAUGUUGGUGAUGAAUAACUAGAACUUCAAAUGUGUAGAAUUCAUUUCAUUAAGAACUAUGCCUGGUCCUUAAAAACUUGUGCUCAGAUGACGAACCUGCAUGAUGCCAUUUGUUCAGGAAGAAGUCUUGUUGGUGUGGCAGAUGUAGAAGCAGCAGUAAAGGAAAUGUUCCAGGCUCCUCAUAUUCAAGUAAGUAUACAACUGUGAAGUAUCACGUGAACACUACUCCAUUACAGUUUUUAGAGGAAUACAUCAGUGAUGUCAAGGAAAUGCUGUGCCGCUGUCUUGAGGGUGGAUCCAAGUAUUUGAUGGUACUAGUUCCCUGACAGGGCUUGAGUAAUCAAGUUAUGGAUACUAAUGAAGUCUGUUUUGAUUGAAAUGCAACUUGAUACAGCUGGCUUAUUAUUAGAUGUGGUCAUAAAAGGCCAAAAUUUUCUUCCUUUUUUUUUUGAGGCUGGGAAGGGAGUUCUGCCUUUGUAUUCUUUAGAUCAUUAAGUGGUCCAUAUUUCUUUGAUGUUCACUUAUUAAUUGCAGUUUUCUUUUUAUAGCUAGUCUAUACAUUACUUACUGGAGAACCACCAUAUACACUGCUCAUACAGGCAUUAUUUAUGUAUUGACUUCGUUCGCAGGUAAUGAAAAGUUGUUCCAAACUGAGCAAAAUAUUCUUGGCAGCAAUGGUGCAUGAACUGUACAAAACUGGAUGGGUGAAACCAGCUUUGAAAAGGUUAUAUGGACCCUUUCAUUCUUUGAUUUUUAUUCUUCUUAGAAUGAUGGUCAUGAAUACAGCAGUACUAGUAUUGUUGUUGUUAGAGUUAAUGUUGUUAUUACUAUCAUUUUUGUAGUCUUACUCCUUGCUGCUGUGCUACCAUCUGAAUGCCUGAGUUAUGCAUCUUCACAUGGUUCCAAGCUGCCAAUUGCUUCCUUGGCACAUACAGCGCUAUCAUAUUUUGUUUGUCUUAUCUAUUACUUUUUCUAUUACCACAAGAUAGUAGAUACAACUUGCUGUUUCUUUGUGAUUUUUUUUGAUUCCGCCAAACUGUCCUUGGGAUUUCUUUUUCCUUCUUUGUUUUUGGAUGUGGCACCAGGAGUUGGGGAAAGGGGAUGGGGGAUUUAGCUUUUUCGGGCUGUUAGGGUAGCUUGACUAUAUUGUUUGGUAUGAAAUCUGAUAUUCUGCAUCCAGCCUCCAGCUGCUGCUGAGAGGUUGUUGAAUGUUAGUUGAUGCCACAGCAGCAGCUGGAAAGUAAAAGAUUACAUUCAGUGUCAUUCAAAAAUUGAAUCUUCCCAUUUUUAUCAGGUUUUACUGUUUCUGUUUUGUGUUGACUUUUCUUUUAAGUUUUUAAAGAUUUUUUUUAAAUUAUAUUCUGUGGGAGAGGCUAUAAUAUUAUAUUGCUCUUCAGCAUAAUGUCCGUAAAUGCUUGCUGUAUAUGCAGUUGGCAAUGACAGUUUCAUGCCUGUGUACAAGCAACGGUGAAGCAUUUCCAGGAUUUGACACACUCUUUAGAGUUGGGUAAGAUGCGUAAAUAGUUGUAUUUCCUUCAAUCAUAUGAACCAAAGUAUAUCGUCAGCCAUAUUCUUGUAGACCUUUUAUUGAAAUGACUUCAUUUAUGUGCUCAAAGACACGAAAUAAGUGUGACAUUUGUGUCUUUGCCAUGUAUGCACUUACUAAUUAGCAAAGAAGAUUUAGACCGAAUUUGAAGUUCUAAUGUGCCCCAGAGUUAAAGUUGAGGAAUUUUCUUUGCACUCCUUGUGUUUGAUAUUGGAUCUAAAAAGGAUUUCUUUGUUUUUGUUCCUUUCUUCUGUAGUUGAAAAAUCAAAGACCUUUUUUCCGUGUUACCUUGAUCAUUCAGAGGCUUAUUGUUAUUGAUAACAUAAGAGUGUCUCUGUACAUUGCUGGAAUUUGCAUCUUCGUUUCAUUUUAGUGAGCAUCGAAUUCUCCAUUAGAAAAUUAUAGAUGGUGAAAAAACUUGAGCUGACAUGUAGUGAGGUAAUCUAUGUGUGUUGAGUCCAUGUCAGAUGAAUUUAAAUCCUAUUUACCUCUAGUGUUUCUAAUAUUGUGGCAGAUGUAAGCUUGGGAAUGUCGAAUUAUAUUAUGUGAAGCGGGAGUCAGACACAAAUUGCAAAAAUUGCAACUCAAUUUCCCAAGGUCAGUCAUCACCAAGCCCUUUGUUUUAACUGAAUAAUCAUUAUUCCUCUGAGCUUACUUUCCCAACUUUAACAAGUUUCAAUUAACUGCUGUCUGAUACUGUGCUUGUGGCAUCCAGAGGUCUUGAAAAAAAGUGUAAUCCAGUUUUACUAAUUAGGGUGUCUAAGAGCCAAAGGCAGAAAACUUUGUCAGCUUGGUCAAUACUUGUGAUUUUAGUUGAAGACGUAUGUUCAAUGCCACAUCAUUGCAAAUCAAAAUACCGGCCAUCAAAUGGAUAAAUGGAUUGACUGGUGCUGACAUAGGAUUUCAUUUUGUUACCAUUCAGUUAGAUGACUCUCCUGCAUAGCAUCUCUUGAAGCUGGCAAUUGUAGAAAAGAAAUAAAAAUAAAAACCGAAUUUAGGUGUGUGGGAGACUACAUGACAGGUCGACAGUUAGUUGUCUAUGCCUCUGAUUUGAUAUUAGUUUGUGUAACAAAAAUUUAAGAUGACAAAUAUAAUUGGCCUCAUUCAGGAUGGAACUAGUAUAAUGGUCCAAAGUUUGUGCCUGCAACAUUUCAAUUUUUCAUAUACAAUGAAUAUAUGUGCCUGCAGCAUUCCACUUUUUUGCAUCUGAAUAUUAUGUACAUUGAAACUAGAUUACAGUCCUGAUGUUUCUGUUGAAUUUUGCAGUGAUGAUGUGACUUUUGCCCUCAAAGACAGCAAAGACCUACCAUGGUUGGCUAAAUACCUGUAAUCACAAAUAGUGAGAUGCUAAUGCAUUCUUUCCCGCUUGUGUACUACAGAUUUAUUCUUUUUACGUUUUCUAAAACCCUCUCAAUUUUGCAAAUUCAUUUUUAUUUUGGGAUCUAAAUCCCUGUUAUGAUUGUAGAAGUGGGAUUAUAAUUAUCGGCCUUCCACAUGGCAAGGCACUUAUCAGAUGUGCACUUCUUAGUUUUGAUAGGCAUUUAUAUAUGCUUUUUCCUGCAAAUGACUAAACUUUUUAUAUCGAAUUGAUGAGUAUUUAGUUGCAAUGAAUUUUAGCGUCAGUGCAUGGGUGUUUCUUGAAAUAUUUUAACGGAACUUUAUCAUAGAUGUUUCUGAAAAAAUCUACGGGUGGGAACCGUUGCUACAGGGAUAGGGUGGCAAGGAUGGAAAUGUGAGGUGUUUUCUGGUGUUUGGAUUGGGUACUUAUUGUUUAUCUAGAUCUGUUUUAUAGAAACUAGUGUUUAUGUAGCACCUUGCCUGCAUUAGCACCUUUGAUGUCUUCGCUAUAUCCAUGAUACACGGUUUAUCUUUAAAGAAAGGGAAAUAAGACUCCCAUGUCUGUAGUCUUUCAGGUGACAAGGCUUCUGGACCAUCUAAGUAAUGCCAAGAAGCUUUUCUGUAUUUUUGCCAUCACAGCACUUGUGCUGCAUGGAGUCCAAGUUCUACUUGAGCUAACAAUUUCCUGUGUCAUCUGUAUCCAUUAUGAUAUUAGGCACAAUGCAAAUUUCAGAUCCUUUUAUUCUCAAUAAUCUUUAGCACGUCCAAGGAGAGGUUUUGAAUUUGAACCUUUAGAACUUUAGUGUUAGUAUGUGUUUUUGCACUCAAAAUGUCAAUGCAAGUUUGUUUCUAAUCUUUUCCAAAGUGAAACCAUACUUGUCUCGCUGUUAGGAAAUUCUGUUAUGACACUGGGGAUACCCAAGUAAUUAUCAAAGGUCAUUUGUCGAUUCCUAGACCAGAAGAGAAGAUUAGGCUCUGAGUCUGAGCAUGUGGGUACGUGUUCUUGGAGAAGAACAUCUUUCAUUUCUCUAGGUUGAUAGAUAGGCCAAACCUUAGGUAAAAAUUGUCUAGAACACUUUUUGCUGUAUUUAUAGAACGUUCUCCACAACUAAAGAACAAAAUUAGGUCAUCUGCAAUCAUGCAGUGUGAGAUGACAGGCCCAAUCUUUAAAGGCUCCCAUUUUUCUGGCUCGCUGCUUCUGUCAUACAUAUGGAAAUAUACAUAUGGAGAAAUGGACCCCCUUGUCUGAUUACCCUAAAAAGAAUUAUCCAUUUAGAGGGACAGGUUCACGGAUUAUUAAGAAGUCAAAAGGGAUUAAAUCGUAUUUUUAUAUUUUAAGAGAAGGGGAAGUCAAAAGGGAUUAAAUCGUAUUUUUAUAUUUUAAGAGAAGGGGAUAGGUUCAACGAGAUGACUAACAUGUCAAAGGAAUCUAAAUACUUCUUGAACCAAAUAUGUGCACUAAAGGACCCGGUGAAUUUGAAAGGUUAAGAAUUUCUAGUGUUUGAUAUUUGACAAGAAGAUUUGAUCUCCCAACCAACAUCCCAAUAGGAACUUAAAGACCCUCUUGAUGGACACUAGACCAAUGGUUCAAGUUAAGGCCUCAUGAAACUCCAUUCAAAUUUGUCAUAAGCAUUUUCCAGGUUUAUUUUUAAAGCACAAUUUCCUAUUUUUCUCUCUCUUUGCUAGGAAUCUUUUUCAACACUUAACGCAGCAGGAAACACAUUAAACAAAAAUGUAGAACUCAUUUUACUCGUGAUCAUGAGAGUUUUUUUCUAUUCAAUUUGUUGGUACCGUUAGAAGAUUAUUGCUAAGUAUCUUGAGACUCAAUGAGAGCAGAGAUAAGCGAGCUUGGACAUCAUUUAUAGGAGAGCUGACAAUUAUACAAGAAUCCUGGUCUCCCAGAUUUUACACAGAUGUUUAGUAGAACAACUCCAAACUGUUAUCGUUUGAAAAAAAAAAAAAAAAAAAAAAGAACAGCUCCAAACUUGAAAGUGAAAGCAGGCACUAAUGAGGUUGACCAAACCAGUGUAACUCAAGAGCCUACAUUUAUCUUUCCCUUCUCAUUUAGUUUGUUGAUGUUAAUAAACUUAAAUUGUUCAUUUUGUGAAGCAUUUAUUUGUGAAUUACUUAAAAGAUUUAAUAAUAUGUUUGCACCAUAACUAACAAAACUAGAGAUGUAAACGAAUCUAAUUAAACUGAACACCCUAAUGUUCAAUCUUAUUUGAUUAUUUUAUGAGCUUGAAUUUUUGUUCAAAUUUAUUGUCAAACAGAAUUUGAACAAGUUUCUUUAUUGAAUUUGAAUGUUAUCGAAUAAAAGAUGUUAUUCAAAUUUAGUUUGACUAGUCAAUAACCAAUCUCAUACGAAACUCUUAUCAAACCGAACUUGAUUUAAGUCUCGAGUAAUUUGAUUCAUUUUUCAGCUCUAAACAAAACCAACACUCUAUACAUCAAACUAUUAUCUUCACAGCAGAGAUGUACUCCUUUGUCUUCUUAAUACAACGUUAAGAUUAUCUUUUCUAUUUUUACUAUUUUUUUUCAUUUCUUAGUUACGACCUUUUUUCCAAUUAGCUUUGCACUUUUCGUCAACAAACUAUUGACUUAAAUUUCUUGCGCUGUUUGAGCAUAAGCUUUUAUCUGUUCCAGAUUUUGUAAGAAUGGUAGAAUUAAUUUUAGAAUAGUUACAUGUAACCAUAAUGAUUAUUAUAAUAAAAAUGUCAAGAUUAAAAGUCUACAUACACUUUUCGCGUGCGUGUUUACACACACUUGCUAAAACCUACAAUAGUGGGUAUACUUAGUAGUAAUAAAAAGAUAAUACAUGCAUCUGGUAUACAAAUCUGAGUCGUUACUUUUUUAACUUGUCAAACUCCAUCGACUUUUGAAGUCGAAUUUGAAUUCUGUUUCUAAGCAUUUAAUCAACAAUUUGCUAGAAGGUUAACCGUGUAAACAUGUAACGAGGAAGAUGUUGGAAGCCACUCAUACUACAGCAGGAGAAAACUGCAUCAUACAAGAUGUUAAAGCAAUUACCUUUUACGAACUGUAGCAUUUAUCUUCAUGAAGUACAAUUUAAUCCUACUACGAAACACAAAACUGCAAAUUUAUGCAUUUGACAGCUGCAGAUUCAGAGCAGGUUGCUGCGUAAAAGAGGAGGUCCUCUGCCACAAUGGCCGGCCCAGAAUGGCACUUCCAUGGACAGCAAGGUAGGCGGCAU
This 86771-nucleotide long non-coding RNA is filed under the name Coffea arabica (coffee). RNAcentral's name for it is "long non-coding RNA (CARA_LNC005016)". The stretch from base 51481 to 51558 matches the Rfam family "Small nucleolar RNA snoR28". The record is from RNAcentral. Lineage: Eukaryota; Viridiplantae; Streptophyta; Magnoliopsida; Gentianales; Rubiaceae.